Molecule: long non-coding RNA, 84811 nt
Filed under: Gossypium barbadense (sea-island cotton)
Lineage: Eukaryota; Viridiplantae; Streptophyta; Magnoliopsida; Malvales; Malvaceae
Description: long non-coding RNA (GBAR_LNC012105)
Source: RNAcentral
AAAGCCACCAAAGUUGCAGUUAAAAUUGUCAUAUCAGAUAUAUGUAGUCAAGCCACUAUAUUACAACCAAGCUGCCAGAAUAGAAGUGUGGUUAAACCACCAGAUAGUGCAGAUUAUUAAAUUACUAGAUCUUCCUCCUUACCAUAUUAUCCCAACCCCAUGCGAUGUGACAUGGCAUGUAAGUACAAAAACAAAAUAAUAAGCAUGUUGAACAUGCAUUCAUAUCUUUAACAGAAACCAGUAAGCAUGCUAUUUCAUGCAUUGUAGAUAAAAAUAUAUCAAAUUACAAAUCACUUUAACCAGAAAAACCACAAUGUCACAUGCUAUGGAAUUUAAACAAAGCAUAACUCAUCAUUAAACAGAGAUACAUUGCUAAACAGAAAACAAGUAAUAGAACUCCCAAAUUUACAAGUCAGAUACGAAUCACACACUAUUGACACGCUUGCAAAUGUUACACAUGCGAUAUCAAUCUUACGAAUAUCAAAUACAAGAGUCACACAUACUAUACACAUCAUAUUUUCGGAUAUUAUACUAACAAAAGCAGAAUAUCAAAUCUCACAUUUUAUAGUCUCAUUUAUACAGUAAAAACCCUACGGAAGGCCUAAAUUGGAUUCGCACAUCAAAAACGACCCUAAGGUAAAAUUUCAGAAAAUUGGCCCACACGACCCAAUUGGCUAUCUCAUGUGGACCACACAGCCCAAUUGACCUAGCUCGUGUGGCUCACAUGGCCUGCCACACGACCGUGUGACAUCGAUAAUGGGCUUUUCGGUAUCGUGUGGUUCCCUGUUUUUCGAGUUUUUUUGUUACACUCCCGAUCGUUAUGACACACAUCCAAACCCUAAAACAACAAUUUAAUUAGGUUAAUUAGCAACACUAUACAAAAUAUCCAAACACUAUAUCGGCCAUACACACAUACUAAACAUUCUGCAUUAGCCCCAAAAAUCAGCCCCUUAUAAACUUUUGGUCACUUACCCCCGAUUGAAGAAACAAUUCCUAAUGCUCACUAAUUUCCAGAGGAAUGCAUGCCCCACGUUCCACACCUACAAGAACCACAAAGAAAAACUAUUAGCGUCCACAACCAGAACACCUCAGUAACACGACAACCUUGCCUUUUACCAUGAACAGAUCUCACUUACAAUAAUAUUAAUAGACAAACACAAUUGAAAUCCAAAAUUCGCUUACCACACUCAACCAAUAAUGGAUCCGGAAGAAAAUUGACACAGCAAAAAAGGUCCGAAUGAUAAUAGAGCAACAGAUAACAAUAACAAAAGAGAAAGAAAGAAAGAAAGAGUUGGAUUGCUUAAUAAGAAGGUAUAGACGAUUUUGGGAAAGAAAAAGAAAAAGAAGGAAAGAAGGAAAAGAAAAACGACAGAAAACUUUCAGAGAGAAUAAAACCAAUGUGAAAACAAAACUCGGUCAAAUGGAGAAAGAGGAGGAGAGAGUGGUAAGUUGUGGCUUUACCAUUGAACUAGUAGACUCAUUCUUGUCAUCAGUUGAGCGAAAAUAUUAUUUAUGCCAGAUGAUUUAAGGAUAGGGGUUAGGAAAAAAUAAUAAAAAUUAAAAAAAAAAGAAUCAAACGCAAAACCUCUCACACACAAGCACAACACCUAUCCACUGAACCAAAUAACUUCACUUGAUAUAAUUUUCACAAUCUUAACUCAAAAUAAAGAUGUUAUCACUCUUGGUUUCACUAACCCAAUUUCUACUAAUCAGGUUUUUGGGAUGUGACAAAACAGUUAUCAAUCCCUCUUAACUCGCUCGAAAUAUAAGCUUAAAAGUACAUUAAUAACUCUAUAUAUUAGAGUUAUCAUUUACCAUAAAAAAAUUCAACAUGGCCACAUCACCAUUUAACAGAAAAGAAUUUAACGAACGGGCUAAUUUACACGUUUCAAAACGCAAAAAGAUUAAUUUACCCGAUUUUUUUCAAUAAAAGAGCCAAAAUGCAACCUGCUCUAAGGACAUCGGCUUCCUUAGUACUUUUACCUAAGCAGUAUUGAUUCAUAAAUCAUGAUCUUUGGGGAUUUGAUGCCUACUUUUACCUAAUGCCUUGUUCAUUAACUUUCUCUACUUCAAAGGAGUUUCUAAGAGCAAUCAAUUCAAAUUUCACUUCAUUGGCAUGAACAAAGAAAUGUGAAAAAAUCAAUUAAGUUCUUGUAUUAAAUUCGCACUCGAUUCCCUGUUAUUCAUUAAACAAUUAAUUAAGCUCAUUCGUUAACAAAAUUUGUGGUUAAUCAUGUUGGCUGUUAAAAUAAAUUGAUAGACCAAUCAGGCAGUGAUGUGGUUAAUUCUAGUUUAAUGUAAUAUUUUCUCGUAAAAAUUAAAAAAGAUUAAAAAUAUAAAAUUAUUAAAAAUUGGAAAUAUUAAAAAUAUAUAUUAAAAUUGUUAUAAGAGUUAGCCUUUGGUAAGUUAGCCUUUGGUACAUUGACAAUGUACUUUUUUUUAUUCCACAAGUAGUCUUAAAAAUUUUUCAUGUGUCUCUAUUUUUUAAGUAUUUUAUUUUUUAAUAUUUUACUAUACCCCUACAACACACUUGUCAACUCCUUGGCUUUGCUUAUGGAAUCUAAAAACUCCAUUGAUAAUGUAUCAAAUAUUUUAUUUUGAUAUAAACUUAUAAAAAUUAUUAAAAAAUAACUUAUAAAUAUUAUAAAAAUAUAAAAAUAAAUAAAAUUAAUAAAAACAUACUUAAAAUUAGGUUUGUAUUUGGUACACUAGCACUAUACUUUUUUUUUAUUCUGCAACCAGCUUUACAGAAUUACCAUGUGUCUUUUUUUUAUACUUAUUUUUUUAAUAUUAAACUAUAUCAUUAUAGGAUACUUGUCAACCUCUUUGACUCUGCUUGUAGAGUUUAAAAACUCUAGUAAUAGUGUACCAAAUAUUCUCUCUUUAAAAUUUUAUAAAAUGUAUAAAAAUUCUUAAAAGUCAUAAAUAAUUAGUUAAAAAUAGUAAAGGUAUCAAAAAAAAUAUUUAAAUUGAUAUAAAAUUAUAAAAAAAUAAAAAAAAUCAUAAAAACUUGAACAUAGCUAGAUUAGUCAGAUAGACCGGUUAGACCGAAAUCGAAAAGCGUACUAGUUUGAAGAAAGCCAUUACACUAGUUAACUUAAAAAUCGGGCCAUUGAACCGAUUUUUUAAUAUUUUUAUAUAAUGUUUUAUUUAAUUAAACUCAACAGACCGAUUGAACAGGCUGAACUAACGAACCUAUGGCCUGACCAGUUCGAUCACUAGCUUGGUUCUGAAAAUCUUGGUCAGAAUAUUUCAUACUAAUAUCUGCUAAUAGUUGGAAAAUGAAAUUUUGGUUUGAUAGUACCUAAUUGUACCAAAAGUUCUUUAUAUCACACAAUACUUAGCAAUUAAAUUUCAAAUUUUCAAGGUCCAAAUUAUUAUAUUGUAAAAAUUAGUGAUAAAAUUUUAAAAAUAAUAAUAAUUUAUCCAUAAAAAGAGAGAAUCCCAUAGUUAUCAUUUUAUUUUGGAAUAUCAAGAAAUGUCACGUCUUAAAAUAAAUGGGGUUAAUUGAAAUGAUUAAAUAAGAAAUGAGCCUUAGGAUUAAUGGUUAACUAUUAGUUCCCCUUCUUAGAGGUCUUAAGUUUGAGCCCUCUCCUUCCAUUUCAUUUUCUUAUGAUUUUUUGGCAAACAUGGGUAAAUUACUAGUGCCGCCCCUAAAGUUUACUAACCCCAGAUAUUUUGUCACAUCCAAAAAAUAGGUCUAGAUAAAAUAGGGCUAAAAUUUGAAUUUUUUAAAGCAUAGGUUAAGAGAAUUAAAAUGCUUUAAAAAUUAUUUUUGUUAAGAAUGAGUUUAUUGGUUCAGUGGCAAGGUCUUAGCUUACCCAUAGGACCUAAGUUUGAAAUCUCUUGCGAGCAUUCAGCAAAAAUAUUUUAUUUUCCUAUUUUAAGUUAUAAAAGUGCCAAAUUUACAAAAUAACCUAGCCAAAAACUUUUUUUUCACUUUAGUCCUUAUUUCAAAAUUGUCUUUGUAACAGCCCAAAUUUGCCCGGGCCCGUGUAAUGAAAUAAACAAAAUAAAUAAAUGUCCAUGUUGUAAAUGUCCAGUAUACAAAUGGGCCUAAAGGCCUGAUGACUUAAGAACCAUGUAGCCUAAGAACCUUAUGCCCGGUUACACCUAACCCACAAAUGGGCACGGCCCAAGGAGGCCCAAAUUACAAAUAGAGGAUGGAAGACCUAGGAUUUCUGAAACCCUAGGCGCCGCAAACGCUAGAGGAAGGUUCCAGAAUUCGCGCAGCAAGCACGCCAAUCGUCACACCCUUUUUGCGCCGUUCCAGUGACCUUCAUCAACACCUCCAUCAGUGUCGUGAUUCCAGGCUCCGUAUCGUGCCGUGAUCGGCGCAUGGAUCAAUGCCAGCCCACUCCUCGCCGUGAGAUCCUCGAUGGUACCUACAAAAAAAGGAAAGAGGAGCAGCAAAGACAAAUGCAAAUAUGGCAAGAAUCGAGCAGAGAAUAUACAAACAUGCAAAUAGAGGCUAUAAAAGCCGAAUGAUUUCAUUGUAACUGGGAAACCUUUUUUUGAUAUACACGAAAAUAUAUACAAAAGAGAACAGAUAUACGGAUAUUCAGAGAAAUUCAAGCAGUUUCUUUAAAAGGUGACUUAAGUUUCAUAUUCUGUUAUCUAUGGUUCAACAUGUAUGCGAAUUAUUUUGGUAAAAAAUUGGUAUUUUAAAAUGGGAAAAGGGGUUACCUGCGAUUCGCCAAGGAAAGUGAAGGUUUUGAACCUUCCAAACCGUCAUGUACGGUGGCACGUGUAGCGCGUGGACGCAUGAACCCAGUGACCGGAGUCUGGUCCAACAGGAGGUCGGAGAAACCUGGAAAGGCUCUCCUAUUCUCCUUCUCAGAGAAUUUUCUUUGUUUUUUUUUAAACAUGGAACCUUUAUUGAUAGCCCAUACGACGUCGUUUUAGAAUGGCCGUUUAAUAACCAAAACGACGUCGUUCCAAAGUUAGGAUCCGCGCAUUGACUCAAGACCCAGGUAGGAUCCGCGCAUUUUUGUUUAAAGGGCUAAUUUCCCAAUUGAGCCUUCCGCAUUUUUAUGUUUUCUAAAAUUCAUUUUAUUUUUAUUUUAAUCUGGCCAUAAACUUUUACAUUUAUUGUAAUUUGGUCCUAAUAGCCAUUGUAAGACAUAUGCCGAGAACGAUGUCGUUUUUGUGGGAUUAGGGAUAAUUUCCUAGUGAGUCCCUCAUUUCUAAUGCGCAUUUCAAUUAAACCCGAAUUUUUUUAUUUAUUUGUAAUUAGCCCUAGUUUUUUUAAAAAAAAUUCGAUCUUAGUUUUUUUAUAUAUAUUUAAUUUAUUUGCAAAUACUAUAUGUAUUAUUUUUAUAUAAACAUUAGUUAUAUAUAAAUAGUGUAUAUUAUUUUUAUAUUAUAAACGUUUUUUUAAUAUUAUAGAUACAUUUUACUUCAUAUAUUAUUUAUCUUACUAUAUUUAUAUAUGGAAAUUAUUAUAUUAUAUCGUUUUUAUUACUUAUUAUUUUAUUUUAUAUCAUUUUAUUAUUAACUAUUUAUUAUAUAUAAUUAAUUUUUUUAAAAAAUUAUUACUAAAAAUUACAUUUAUAUGUCAUUAUUUAGAGGUGAGUUUAUAAUAUUUUUUAAAAAAAAAAGUAUAAAAUUUUGUUCCUAUUCAAUAUGAUGAUUUGACCUUGAAUUAUUAUAUUAUGUAAUGUAUUACAUAUAUUAAUUAUUUCUAAAAACUCUCCUUUAUCAUUUAUACAUUGCUCUAAUAUAUUUUUUUUGUUUUUUUUAUGUUCAUGAUUUGUUUAUUCACUUUAUAUUUUGUAUUUAUUGUUUUAACAUGCUAAUGCUAUCUCACUAGCUAUUUGUUGUUUACAUGAUUUGUCGUUUAUCACGUUUGCAUGAAAAUUAAUUGUUUAUGUUGAUUUAAGCUACAAUUGCAUGAAAUAUUGUUGUAUAUAUAUUGCAAUUUAUAUUAUUGUAUUCAUUAUGCGCUAUGUUGUAUUUUGCAUGUAACGAUAAUGCAUGUAUAUUUAUGUUAUCUAUGAUUAUAUAUGCAUAAAAUGAUAACGUAUAUUGUGUAAUUUAUGCCAUUAUUCAUUUUUUUUCAUAUAUUAUAUUUGCAUAGAAUGUUAAAGUAGGUAUCAUGUAGGAUAAUUUAUUUAAUAUUGAUCCUUUGCAAUAUGUUAAAUACAUCAUCACUUUAAAGAACUUUUAUAUUUCAUUCGAUCCAAAAGGAAUUUUAAAAAAUAAGGCAAUGUUUUUUUGGUAGUUAGGAAUUUGGGAAGUAGUGCCCUAACAUGCUAGGUUACAAUUUCCCGUUUGUCUAAAUGCCUAAAAUAUCCUUCUAAAUAAGUUUUGAAAAUCACAAGAUGAUUUUAGUUACAAAAGUUUAAAAAUAUCGUGUCCAAUCAUGCUGGAUGUGAUAUUUAUAUUCUUUCGAAGCAAAGGAAUCUUGAUUCUCUUUAACUCAAAUUAUUACGGUUUUAAAAGAGAUCUUAUUUCUAAAUUCUUUCAAACUUUUGACAUUAAGGCAAAAUUAUUCAAUUUGGUACCAAUUUUGGGCGUUGCGAGGGUGCUAAUCCUUCCUUGUACGUAACCGACUCCCAAACCUGUUUUCUCAUAAUUCCGUAGAUCAAAAUAUUUUAUAAGGUGAUCCAACCACACCUAAAAGAUUGGUGGCGACUCCCGUCUUUUCAAAAAUCUCGUUUCCUAAAAAAUAGAGGUUUCGACAGCUUGGCGACUCUACUGGGGAUAUUAUAAGAGAGUCAAGCCAAGAAAUUAUUUUUUUAUGUCUUAAUGUCAAAAGUUUGGAAAAUUUUAAAAUAUUAAUCUUGUUACAUGUGAUCGCUACAUAUGUUUGUAUUUUGAUUUCGCACUCAUUGCAUUUGCAUGACCGCUGUGGUCGCACCCCUAAGUGGGAGUGAGAAGCUAUGCUUUCGUGAGGUUUUCACCUCCGUAUGAGCUAGUGGAUUGCUUCCGGGAUACUAUAUCUAUGUCUUCGUGAGAUUUUCAUCUCCGCAUGGCAUAGGAAAAUGUGUCCCCCUGAACUGAACUUGGUCUAUAUGAGCCUAUAAUGGGUGAGGACCGAGGAAUCUGUUGGUUCAGGUACCCUUGCUUUAGAACUAAAACGCACACUUAUAGUAAACUUUAAGUGCUUACCCUAGGGAGUAUAGUGAUAGCCUUCAGUAAAUUACCCUUAUAGGUACUUGUUUAUUAUACUUUUAUAUAUGAUACUAACUUAUUUUAUUUUGCUAUCAUUGCAUGGCAUUCAGCAUUUAAGGGUGUCGAUUCAUGGUUUGAUUUCUAGAUUAGAAAGUUUUGUAAUGAGGAGCGAAAAUCUUGAUAAAGUGAAGGACAAUGCCUCUGUCUGUACCUGGUAAGAGAAAACCCAGUUAGAGAAAAGAGAUAGUAUUACCGAGGGGUAUACAUCAGGGUUAUGGGACUUCACUCGUAUUAAUUCGACACAGAAUGAGUUUCAGGAGUUGAGAGACAUUUGGGCCCAAUGGGAUGACGAGGUUAAGCAGGUUUUCUAUCAGAAUUAUGGAGGUCUUCCCUAUUUUCUAGACAUCAAGGUAGAUAAGCAUCUGUUCCGAGCUAUGGUACAGUUUUAGAACCCUGCUUAUAGUUGUUUUACAUUUGGAGAGGUGGACUUAGUACCUACUUUGGAGGAGUAUACGACCUUGCUUCGCUGCCAAAAAAUUCAAGGUAACAAAGCUUAUGUUAGGGCUGCUAAUCCCUCAACUUUUGUGAAGAAAUUAAUAACGAUUACAGGGGUGAGUGAACAGUGGGCCGCAGCUCGAAUCCAACAAAAGGGUGAUAGCAAAUGCAUCUCGUGGGCAAGUUUGAGGGAUUUGAUAUUGGCACACCCAGAUGUGAAGAAGAAGGUUGAUGUAUUGGCUUUAAGUAUGUAUGGAUUGAUGAUUUUCCCAAAGGCUAUGGGGUACAUAGAUGAGGCAGUUGCAGAUUUAUUCGAUCAAAUUAGUAAACAGAACACGCAUGUGCCUGCAAUCCUAGCCGAGACGUUUAGAUCCUUGAGUGCGUAUCGGAGAGCUAGUGAAGGUAGAUUCAUUGGAUGUGCACAAUUGUUAUUAGUUUGGUUCCACAAUCACUUUUGGAAGGUUGAUAAGGUUCCUUUUCGGGUGUUCUUUAAAGACUAUUCUCCACUAAAAGAAGCAGCAGCUACACCGAGGAGGGAUGGCAUUACAGAGGAAAGGUGGAUAGAAAUAAUUCAGAACCUCCAAGAAGAAGAUGUUAUGUGGAAAGCCCCUUGGAUGACUCGUAACGAAAUCUUUUAACGUUGCGGGAACUUUGAUUGGGUACCUCUUCUUGGAAUUUGGGAGGUUGUUGGUUAUGUACCAUUACUUGUCUUAAGGCAAUACAAGACAGUGCAGUUUAUACCAGCAACACAAGGGUUAGCUCAGAGUGACUUCUCAUAUAAAGAGGAUCAUUAUAAGAAGAAGAUGCGAGAAAUCUCUGAGGCUUGGAAGAAGGUUUGCUGUGUGAAGAUUCUGACUAAAGGUUUGACGAAAACUCUUGAAUACAAAGGGUGGUUUAGUAAGAGGGUCAAUGAUAACAUCCCUAAACUGAGUUUGGAGGUUGCUCGAUCGAUGGAAGAGAGUUUACAAGUGAUUCCAACAGAAUUAGAAGUCAUAAAGUAAGAGUUUGAAAGAAAAAAUUUGGAGCUCGGGAGAAAGAUAGAAAGGCUUGAGGAGGAGAAAUGUACCUAAGCUUAGACGUCGACGUUCAUAGAAUUGAGGUCAAAAAAGAGAGGAAAGAAAAGAGGAAGAUUGAGGAAGACCGAAAUGACUUGAAGACGCAAUAUAAGAGGAUACAGUUAUCGAUGAAGAGAGCUGAAUUGGCGAAGUCUUCAGAGCAAUGGCAACAAGAGGUUUAAGAAGAAAGAACCAAAGUCGAGUAUUGGGAGAAUAAGUUCUAAGAGAUGCAUGCGCGUAAUCAGGCCCUAGAGAAAGAGAAUCAAGGAUUAAAAACUAAGGUGACUGAGCUUAGACGAUCUCUUCAUCAUCACCGAAGUCGUAACUCUGCGGUCGAGUUAAAGACAAGCUUGGAUAAGAUCGAGAAAAUGAAGCACAAUAUUGGAGGGUUGGAAGCAGCACUACAGGACUUUGAGCUACGGAUUAAGCAGCUCGAGGCAAGAGAAGAACAUUGGAAGGGAGAGCUUCACCAUUUUCAGGAUCAAGUCAGAGAUAGGGACUACCUCAUGGGAGAAGCUAUAGUACAGAUUCGAGAGGUUGCUGAUCAUUCGUAUGACUUAGCGGCGCAAGCUAAUGUAUUAAGUACAAAGUAUGAGUUAGUGUCAGAUAGAGGUCUAGAGUUAGCUUCAUUAUUGAACAGGGUUAAAACUUUGGGCCUGAGGGCAAAGGCGUAUUUGUAAUCCGUUUUGUGUAAAGAUUUUUGUUUCUUAAAUAACGUUUUCUCAAAGAAAUUGGAUCAGAAUCGAUAUCUUUUUACAUUCAUGCAUUUGCAUCUCAUCGAAUCAUAUGCAUUCAAAUUUAUAGAAAGACCUAAUUAGCUAAAAUUAACAGAGGGAGAAAGAGAGUGAGAAAAUCUGAAAGCAACACAUCCUUACGAUACACGUACUAAGACAAAGAAUAUGGAUCACAGACUUGAGCAGAUCUAGAAAGAAAUGCAGGAACAAUUAUAGGAACAAUUGAUGAAAAUCCAACAGGAGAUGAAGGAUCAAAUGUUGGAGGCUCAAAGGAAUAUGAUGGCUGAGAUGGAUCAGUUGUUGAGGGGGACAACAGAUAAAGAAAAAGCCCCUAUGACUACCACUGAAGAGGAUAAUGAGGGUCAUCCUCCUGGUUUUACUCCACCUCAUGUGCAGACUCAACCUGAGGCAUAUCCCCAAGGGCCGUCCGUCACAAUAAGGCCUCAACAGGGACAAGUCGAUGUAGGAAUACCCAUGAACUUUCAAACUGGUUCAGGAUUCAACCCUGGAUAUAACCCUGCCAAUCCAGUUAUCCCUGAUUUAGAUGUAGCUGAGAGGGAAGAGAUGAGACUCGAAUCAUCAAGGCAAUUAAAGGAACGUUGCAGAUGGUUUGAGAAGAAAUUUAAGGCACUAGAAAACGCUGAUAAUCGUCAGGGAGUUGAUGCUAAGGACUUGAGUUUAAUCCCAGAUUUGGUGCUUCCCCAUAAGUUCAAAAUACCGAAAUUCGAGAAGUACAAUGGGACUACUUGCCCGAAGCCCAUAUCACCAUGUUCUGCAGACGGAUGACUGGUUAUGUAAACAAUGAUCAAUUAUUGAUCCAUUGUUUUCAGGAUAGUUUGGCUGGGGUAGCGGCUAGGUGGUAUAAUACUGAGUCGUGCAAGGAUCGGUUCUUGGAGAGACUUAGCGCAAGCUUUUAUGCAGCAAUAUAAUUAUAUGACUGACAUGACUCUUGAUAGAAUCACUUUGCAAAAUAUGGAAAAGAAGCCUAAUGAGAGCUUUAGGCAAUAUGCACAGAGGUGGAGGGAGGUUGACAUGCAAGUUCAACCACUGCUCUUGGAAAAAGAAACUACCAUGUUGUUCAUCAACACUUUAAAGGCUCCAUUCAUUAUUCACAUGAUUGGAAGUACCACCAAGAGUUUUACUGAUAUAGUUAUGGCGGGAGAAAUAAUUGAGAACGCCAUAAGAGGUGGCAAGAUAGAGGGGGAAACUACAAAAAGGUCUGCCUCAAGAAGGAAAGACAAUGAGGUGAACAAUACGAGUAGUUAUAAUUCAAAAGCAGUUACGGUUAGUCAGCCAAGAGUAACUACGGUUGGGCAACAAGAUUCUCAAAAGCAGAGAUCUGGUUUGAGACAAAAUUCUAAAAAGGUCUCAUUUAUGCCUAUCCCAGUAACGUAUCGGGAGCUUUACCAAAGUUUAUUCAAUGCGCAUGCAAUAGCUCCUUUUCACUUGAAACCGUUACAACCUCCAUAUCUCAAAUGGUAUGAUGCAAACGCUAAAUGUGAGUAUCAUACGGGGAUAUCGGGACAUUCAAUUGAAAAUUGCACUGGUUUUAAGAAGGCAGUGGAAAGACUAAUCAAAAUGGGGGUCGUAAAAUUUGACGACACCCCUAGUACAGAGAACCCGUUGCCAAAUCAUGGUGAUCAAGGGGUAAAUGCAAUUGGUGACACUGACAUGAGAAAGAUCAAAGAGGAUGUGACCGAGGUGAGAACACUGAUGAAAAUAAUUUAGGAAGAAAUGGUGAACAGAGAGAUGAUAAUCUCUAAAGAAAGGAAUAGAGGAGUAAGGGACUACUGCGAGUUUCAUGCUGAAAAGGGGCACGAGAUCCAGGAAUGUAACGAGUUUAAGGCCUUAGUACAAAGCCUUAUGGAUAAUAAGGAGUUGGAAUUUUAUGAAGCUGGCUCAGAUGAGAGACGAAUAUGCACAUUAGAAGGUGGACCGAAGAAUCAAAACCGGUCAAGAAUCAUUAUUUCUUUACCAAGAAAUAAUGAAGUUGAAAUACCAACGGUACCGAAAGUCAUGAUUCAUAAACCUGUUUCCUUUCCUUACAAGGAUAACAAGAGAGUACAUUGGAAUUAUAACUGUAAUGUAACAAUGUCGGAGAAGGAGGAUAUAGCUAGUGCCACUAAAAAAGUUCGAGAUGAGGGUUCUUAUACACGUAGUGGGAAGCGUUAUGAUGCAGAAGGUGUCAGAGUUGAGCCCGCAAAAGCAAAAGCUUUUGACAAAAGAAAGGGAACUGAAAUACUGGUUAACGAGCCAGUGAAAGAAGAAAAAGCCAGAGAAUUUCUAAAAUUCUUGAAACACAGUGAGUACAGCGUAGUUAAGCAAUUACGCAAACAACCAGCUCGUAUAUCAGUACUGGCUUUGCUUCUGAGUUCAGAGGUACAUCGUGAGGCGUUAAUGAAGGUGCUCAACGAGACUUAUGUUACUAAUGAUAUAUCCGUCAAAAAGUUGGACCGAUUGGUUAGUAACAUAAGUGCUGAUAAUUUCAUUUAUUUCAACAAUGAUGAAAUUCCACCGGGAGGCAUGGGAUCAGCUAAGGCUUUGCACAUUACCACUCGUUGCAAAGGAUAUACAUUGCCGAGUGUGCUUAUUGAUAAUGGGUCAGCCUUAAAUAUCAUGCCGCUCUCCACAUUGAACAGAUUACCCAUUGACAGUUCUCACAUAAAAACAUGCCAUAAUAUAGUGAGAGCAUUUGAUGGCACGAAAAGAAAGGUCAUGGGAAGAAUUGAUAUUCCUUUGAUGAUUUGGCUAAACACGUAUGAGGUGGAAUUUUUAGUAAUGGACAUCAAGCCCUCUUAUAAUUACCUAUUUGGGAGACCUUGGAUACAUUCGGCAGGAGCGGUGCCCUCAUCUUUGUACUAAAAAUUGAAGUUAGUAGCCGAUGAACGACUGGUCACCAUAAAUGUGGAGGAGGACAUUAUAGCGACAGCUACUAGUGAUGCACCUUAUGUAGAAGCAAAUGAGGAGGCCAUUGAAUACUCUUUCCGUUCAUUAGAAUUCGUCAAUGCAAUAUUCAUCUCAGAGGGGAAUGAGGUGCCGGUGCCCAGGAUAUCCAGAACCACAAGAAUGAGUUUGCAGAUGAUAGUGGGGAAAAAACCCUUGCCAGGAAAAGGAUUUGGAAGAUAUCUCCAAAGAGGGAUUCAAGGUCCUGAACUAAAGGAGAAGAGAGACCGUUUUGGCUUGGGUUUCAGGCUAGAUUACAAGCAGAGGAGGAAAGAAAUAGAGAAGCGCCAAGAGAGAAGAAGGGCACGUUUAGAUGGAAGAGAGGUAGAGUGGGAACUGAUAACAGUCCCCCAUAUAACUCAAACCUUUAUAUCAGGAGGGAUGAUUCACCCUGAGAGAGGAUUGCUCGAGAAAAGAGGUUAUCACAUUAAUGCUGUGUAUGAUGAAGAGUCUGAACAAGGAAACCUUGAGGGCAUUCGCCCUUAUGAACCGAGAAGCUCUUUAAACAAUUGGGUUGCAGAAGAACUUCUUGUAGUUUUUAAAGAUUCUUCGGAGUAAUUUUCAGAACACUCUUAUUGCUCUAAAGCCUAGGAAUAGUAAGAUUUCUUUUAUAAAAUAGGUUCAUGUUCGGAUAUUUAUAUUUCAAUAAAAUGCAACCUUUGUUAUCGAUUCAAGUGAGUAUUCUUUUAUACCGUUUAAUAUUCUUUUGACAUUUAAAUUCUUUCAAAUAUUUUCCAUUUCAUUCAUAACAUAUAAAUAAAUUCAUUCAUUCUUUUUACAUUCUUUCGUACCCCGCAGGCCCCUAGAUAUCAAUGACAUGAACACUGAUACUACGAAUCCUAGAUUCUCUUUUGAGCAAGACAUGUGUUUAGAAGAACUUCAGGAUUUUGAAGAUGACAGAGAUUGUGAUAUGUCUCCAGAUCUGUUGAGAAUGGUGAAACAAGAGGAUAAACAAAUCCUACCCCGUGAGAAAGAGGCAAUAGAGAAUGUAGCCUUGGAGGAAGGGAAAGAGGUGAAAAUUGGCAUACAUAUUGCUAAGGAAACGAGACAAAGCCUUGUUGAGCUACUACGGAAAUUCAAAGAUAUCUUUGCAUGGUCAUAUGAGGAUAUGCCGAGUUUGAAUACUGAUAUUGUGGUACAUCGUCUCCCCAUAAGAUAAGAUUGCAAGCCAGUCUAACAAAAAUUGCGGAGGAUGAGGCCUGAUAUUGUGUUGAAAAUAAAAGAUGAAGUCAAAAAGCAGUUUGAUGCUGGAUUCCUACAAGAGGUUAAGUAUUCAGAAUGGGUGGCCAACAUUGUGUCUGUCCCUAAGAAGGAUGGGAAGGUAAGAAUGUGUGUUGAUUACAGAGAUCUGAAUAAAGCUAGCCCAAAGACAACUUUCCUUUACCGCACAUUGAUACUUUGGUGGACAAUACAGUGGGAUAUUCGUUGUUCUCCUUUAUGGAUGGUUUCUCGAGGUACAAUCAGAUAAAGAUGCAUCCUGAAGACAUGGAUAAAACCACCUUCAUAACAUUGUGGGGCACCUUCUGUUACAAGGUAAUGCCCUUUGGGUUGAAGAAUGCAAGGGCAACAUACCAAAGGGCUAUGGUGACCUUAUUCCAUGAUAUAAUACACAAAGAAAUUGAGGUGUAUGUUGAUGACAUGAUUGUUAAAUCUCGAACAGAGAAGGAACAUAUUGAAGUUUUGAGGAAGUUGUUCCUGAGAUUAAGGAAAUUUCAGUUGAAGCUUAAUCCGGCAAAGUGCAUCUUCGGAGCUAGGUCGGGGAAGUUAUUAGGCUUUGUGGUCAGCGAAAAGGGAAUAGAAGUUGACUCUGACAAGGUUAGAGCUAUACGAGAAUUGCCUCCACCACAUACUCAAAAGGAAGUUCGGGGUUUUCUUGGAAGAUUGAAUUAUAUUGGUCACUUUAUUUCACAAUUAACCGAGAAAUGUGAUCAUAUAUUUCUCCUCCUUAGAAAACACAACCAAGGUACUUGGGAUGAAGAAUGCCAGAAUGCUUUCGAUAAGGUUAAGCAAUACUUGUUAAACGCUCCAGUGUUAUCUCCGCCUAGUCCAGAUAGACCAUUAAUUCUGUACUUAUCAGUGUUUAGUAAUUCUAUGGGAUGUAUGCUUGGCCAACACGACAAGUCAGGAAGAAAAGAGAAAGCAAUAUACUACCUCAGCAAGAAAUUCACAGAGUGUGAGAUGAGAUAUUCGCCAAUUGAGAAAUUGUGUUGUGCUUUAAACUGGAUGACUCGAAGGUUGAGACAAUAUAUGUUAUAUCAUACGACUUGGCUAAUUUCAAAACUUGAUCCAUUAAAAUACAUGAUGGAGUCAACAGCACUAAAUGGAAGAAUGGCAAGGUGGCAAAUAUUGCUUUCAGAUUUGACAUAGUCUACGUGAGUCAAAAGGCUAUAAAAGGAAGCGCGAUAGCAGAAUUUCUGGCUAGCAAGGCUCUAGAAGAUUAUGAGCCAUUGAGCUUUGAUUUCCCUAACGAGGAGUUGAUGCAUGUGGCAGUCAUUGAAGAAUAUCCCUAGAAACUGAACUUUGACGGCGCAUCUAAUGCAGUAGGAAAUGGAAUUUAGGCAGUCUUGGUAUCCCCAACUGGUGAUCAUUAUUCGUUUACAUGUAAAUUGGAUUUUGACUGUACGAACAACAUGACCGAAUAUGAAGCAUGCAUUAUGGGGAUUCAAGCAGCCAAAGAGCGGAAAAUCAGAACCUUGGAAGUAUAUGGAGACUCUGCAUUGGUAAUAUACCAACUUAGGGGUGAAUGGGAGAUAAGGGACCCUAAAUUGAUUAAUUAUCAAAAGGUAGUCUUGGAGUUACUUGAGGAGUUUGAUAAAAUCACCUUCAAUUAUCUCCCACGGGAUGAAAAUCAGAUGGCGGACGCUUUGGCAACAUUAGCUUCCAUAAUUAAAGCAAAUAAACAAGAGGAUGUGAGACCAAUUCAGAUGAGCAUUUUUGAUGUUCUGGCUCAUUGCUGUAACAUCAAAGAAAAGGAAAAGGAUGACCAUCCUUGGUAUCAAGAUAUACUACGGUAUGUGAGAAAUCGUGAAUAUCCUGAACAGGCAACUGAGAAUGAUAAAAGAACUUUGAGAAGGUUAGCUUGUGAAUAUGUACUAGAUAAAGAUAUCCUUUAUAAAAGAAGGAAAGAUCAGGUACUUUUGAGAUGCGUUGACGCUAUAGAAGCUAAACAAAUCCUGGAAGAAGUACAUGAAGGAGUUUGUGGUACACAUGCUAAUGGAUUUACGAUGGCCAGACAAAUCAUGAGGUUUGGAUACUAUUGGUUUACUAUGGAAGGAGAUUGUAUCAGUUAUGCUAAGAAAUGUCAUAAAUGCCAGAUAUAUGGAGACAAGAUCCAUGUACCACCUUCACCCUUACAUGUUAUGACUUCUCCAUGGCUCUUUUCCAUGUCGGGUAUGGAUGUCAUUGGGCCAAUAUCGCCAAAAGCUUCGAAGGGGCAUCCUUUCAUUUUUGUGGUCAUUGACUACUUCACGAAAUGGGUAGAGGCGGCUUCUUAUGCUAGUGUCACCAAGUCAGCAGUAGGGCGAUUCUUGAAAAAUGAGAUUAUUUUUCGGUAUGGAAUGCCUGAGAGGAUCAUAUCAGACAAUGCAUUGAACUUGAAUAACAGCACGAUUGCGGAAGUUUGCAGUCAAUUCAAGAUUAAACAUCAUAAUUCAUCCCCAUAUCGCCCAAAGAUGAAUGGGGCAGUGGAAGCUGCUAACAAAAACAUCAAGAGGAUAGUUGGGAAAAUGAAUGAAACGUACAGAGAUUAGCAUGAGAAAUUACCAUUUGCACUCUUAGCCUACCAAACGUCCAUCAGAACCUCCACUGGGGCAACUCCUUUCUUGUAGGUUUAUGGGAUGGAGGCAGUGUUACCCAUUAAAUUUGAAAUACCUUCUCUUCGAAUUUUGUCAGAGAUAAAGCUAGAUAAAGCAAAAUGGACUCAAUCGUGGUAUGACCAAUUGAACUUAAUCGAAGAAAAGAGGUUAAAAGUUAUUCGCAACAAUCAGAUGUAUCAGAAAUGAAUUAUGCGAGCCUAUGACAAGAAGGUUUGUCCAAGAGAAUUCCACAAAGGUGACCUUGUAUUAAAAAAGAUCCUUCCCAUACAGAAGGACUUCAGAGAAAAAUGGAUGCCGAAUUGGGAAGGGUCGUAUGUUGUGAAGAAUGCUUUCUUUGGUGGUGCUUUGAUUUUGACAGAAAUGGAUAGGAAAAGUUUACCCAAUCUAGUGAAUUCAGACACAGUCAAAAAGUACUAUGUCUAAAGAGAAUGGAAGACAAGGUGAAAACCCACAAAGGGCUUUUUGAGACUUCUAAAAACAAUAAAUAAAAAAUAUAAAAUGGAGAGGCCAAGGUGAAAACCCACAAAGGGCACCUUGAGACCAAAGGGGUUUUGAGUUGAAAAACCCAAAAGGGCUGCUCAAAUAUUCGAGAAACAUGCGGUGACUUUGCUAUACCGGAUUUAACGAGAAAUGGAGUGUGUUACAUACCGGGGCAUCAACAAAGUACUUUGGAUCUUCUAAACACAUGUUAAAACUCAAAAUAGUCUUCACGGAAUUUGUACACAGAAGCUCAAGCUGUGAUAUGUUGGACAUCGAAUUUUUGUUCUGUUUAUUAUCUUUGGAUUCUUUUUCUUCUCAAAGAUAUGUUUUCAGAUUAAUUUCCUAUUGUAUUCUGAUGAUUUAUCUAACUAUUCUCAAGAUUAAAUUUUUUGUCUUCCAUUACUCAUAAGGAGUGUUGCGUUGAAAUAAUAAUUGAUGAAUUAAAUAUUUUUACAAACGAAGUUUUGCAUAUUAUUCUAGAAACCUCUAGAGAAUACAAGAAACUAAAACAGAACAAUUGUUUGAAGAAUUCCCAUAAGUAAAGGUCAGAGGUACUCGAGGAAAUUUCUUUUCAGUCCAAAGGAUGAUUGGACAAUUCAAACGAUUCAACCGUAGGAGAGGAUAGCCUUUAGCAAGUCGUAAUGUUAGGAGAAUGGUAUAAUAAGGACCAAUUUGAUUCAAAACACAUGAGCAGAGUACGGUUGAUACUUGGAGUAAAAUAAAAGUGGAACUUUGAUGGAUGAACGAGUAAAGACGUCCGAAAUAGAGAUCAUUCCCAUAACAUUUUGUAUAAUUAGGAGCAUUUGAUUCAUUUUGAGCAUGACAUCUUAAUCAUCAGGCAUGAGUACAUAUGCAUUCUAUAGGUUAUGUCCUUUAAAGGACAAUGUAGAUCACUGAUAGCAGAUUUGGCGUCUCUGUAUUGUCAGAGAGCAGAUCUAAGAUAGCAGAUUUGGCAUCUCUGUAUUGUCAGAGAGCAGAUCGAAGAUAGCAGAUUUGGCGUCUCUGUAUUGUCAGAGAGUAGAUCGAAGACAGCAGAUUUGGUGUCUCUGUGUUGUCAGAGAGCAGAUCGAAGAUAGCAGAUUUGGCGUCUCUGUAUUGUCAGAGAGCAGAUCGAAGAUAGCAGAUUUGGCGUCUCUUUAUUGUUAGAGAGCAGAUCGAAGACAGCAGAUUUGGCGUCUUUGUGUUGUCAGAGAGCAGAUCGAAGAUAGCAGAUUUGGCGUAUCUGUAUUUUCAUAGAGCAAAUCGAAGAUAGUAGAUUUGGCGUCUCUGUAUUGUCAGAGAGCAGAUCGAACAUUUCGGCUUGGCGUCUCUAUACUAAUAGGAAGCCGGUGGAAGAUAGCAGAUUUGACAUUCCUGAGUUGCGGUGAAGCAAGUAUGAAGCUAUCAGAAUACCUUUAAGGAAGAUGAGGAUCAAGAUUUCGAGACAUUGGCCAGGCCGAGCAAAUUUGGUCCUUUUAUAAUCUUUGCUCUAUUCCUGUUACACAGUAAUAAGCAAAGAGGGGCAGCUGUAACAGCCCAAAUUUGCCCGGGCCCGUGUAAUGAAAUAAACAAAAUAAAUAAAUGUCCAUGUUGUAAAUGUCCAGUAUACAAAUGGGCCUAAAGGCCUGAUGACUCAAGAACCAUGUAGCUUAAGAACCCUAUGCCCGGUUACACCCAACCCACAAAUGGGCACGGCCCAAGGAGGCCCAAAUUACAAAUAGAGGAUGGAAGGCCUAUGGUUUCUGAAACCCUAGGCGCCGCAAAUGCUAGAGGAAGGUUCCAGAAUUCGCACCGCAGGCACGCCAAUCGUCACACCCUUUUUGCGCCGUUCCAGUGACCUUCAUCGACACCUCCAUCAGUGACGUGAUUCCAGGCUCCGUAUCAUGCCGUGAUCAGCGCACGAAUCAACGCCAGCCCACUCCUCGCCGUGAGAUCCUCGAUGGUAUCUGCAAAAAAAGGAAAGAGGAGCAGCAAAGACAAAUGCAAAUAUGGCAAGAAUCGAGCAGAGAAUAUACAAACCUGCAAAUAGAGGCUAUAAAAGCCGAAUUAUUUCAUUGUAACUGGGAAACCUUUUUUUGAUAUAUACGAAAAUAUAUACGAAAGAGAAUAGAUAUACGGAUAUUCAGAGAAAUUCAAGCAAUUUCUUUAAAAGAUGACUUAAGUUUCAUAUUCUGUUAUCUAUGGUUCAACAUGUAUAUGAAUUGUUUUGGAAAAAAAUUGGUAUUUUAAAAUGGGAAAAGGGGUUACCUGCAAUUCGCCAAGGAAAGUGAAGGUUUUGAACCUUCCAAACCGUCAUGUACGGUGGCGCGUGUAGUGCGUGGAUGCAUGAACCCAGUGACCGAAGUCUGGUCCGACAGAGGUCGGAGAAACCUGGAAAGGCUCUCCUAUUCUCCUUCUUAGAGAAUUUUCUUUGUUUUUUUUUAAAACAUGAAACCAAAUGAAUUUUCAAAUGUUUUUUUUUUGUAUUUAUUGAUAGCCCAUACGACGUCGUUUUAGAAUGGCCGUUUAAUAACCAAAACGGCGUUGACCUGAGACCCGGGUAGGAUCCGCGCAUUUUUUUAAAGGGCUAAUUGCCCAAUUGAUCCUUCUACAUUUUUAUGUUUUCUCAAAUUCAUUUUAUUUUUAUUUUAAUCUGGCCUUAAACUUUUACAUUUAUUGUAAUUUGGUCCUAAUAGCCAUUGUAAGACAUAUGCCGAGAACGAUGUCGUUUUUUGGGGAUUAGGGAUAAUUUCCCAGUGAGUCACUCAUUUUUAAUGCGCAUGUCAAUUAAUACCGAAUUUUUUUAUUUAUUUGUAAUUAGCCCUAGUGUUUUUAAAAAAAAAUUUGAUCUUAGUUUUUUUAUAUAUAUUUAAUUUAUUUUCAAAUACUAUAUGUAUUAUUUUUUAUAUAAACAUUAGUUAUAUAUAAAUAGUGUAUAUUAUUUUUAUAUUAUAACCGUUUUUUUAUAUUAUAUAUACAUUUUACUUCAUAUAUUAUUUAUCUUACUAUAUUUAUAUAUGGAAAUUAUUAUAUUAUAUCAUUUUUAUUACUUAUUAUUUUAUUUUAUAUCAUUUUAUUAUUAACAAUUUAUUAUGUAUAAUUAAUUUUUUUUAAAAUUAUUACUAAAAAUUAUAUUUAUAUGUCUUUAUUUAGAGGUCAGUUUAUAAUAUUUAAAAAAAAAGUAUAAAAUUUUGUUCCUAUUCAAUAUGAUGAUUUGACCUUGAAUUAUUAUAUUAUGUAAUGUAUUACAUAUAUUAAUUAUUUCUAAAAACUCUCCUUUAUCAUUUAUACAUUGCUCUAAUAUAAUUUUUUUUUUUGUUUUUUUUUAUGUUCAUGAUUUGUUUAUUCACUUUAUAUUUUGUAUUUAUUGUUUUAACAUGCUAAUGCUAUCUCACUAGCUAUUUGUUGUUUACAUGAUUUGUUGUUUAUCACAUUUGCAUGAAAAUUAAUUAUUUAUGUUGAUUUAAGCUACAAUUGCAUGAAAUAUUGUUGUAUAUAUAUUGCAAUUUUUAUUAUUGUAUUCAUUAUGCGCUAUGUUGUAUUUUGCAUGCAACGAUAAUGCAUGUAUAUUUAUGUUAUCUAUGAUCACAUAUGCAUAAAAUGAUAACGUAUAUUGUGUAAUUUAUGCCAUUAUUCAUUUUUUUUCAUAUAUUAUAUUUGCAUAGAAUGUUAAAGUAGGUAUCAUGUAAGAUAAUUUAUUUAAUAUUGAUCCUUUGCAAUAUGUUAAAUGCAUCAUCACUUUAAAGAACUUUUGUAUUUCAUUCGAUCCAAAAGGAAUUUUAAAAAAUAAGGCAAUGUUUUUUUGGUAGUUAGGAAUUCGGGAAGUAGUGCCCUAACAUGCUGGGUUGCAAUUUCCUGUUUGUCUAAAUGCCUAAAAUAUCCUUCUAAAUAAGUUUUGAAAAUUACAAGAUGAUUUUAGUUACGAAAGUUUAAAAAUAUCGUGUCCAAUCAUGCUGGAUGUGAUAUUUAUAUUCUUUCGAAGCAAAGGAAUCUUGAUUCCCUUUAACUCAAAUUAUUAUGGUUUUAAAAGAGAUCUUAUUUCUAAAUUCUUUCAAACUUUUGGCAUUAAGGCAAAAUUAUUCAAUUUGGUACCAAUUUUGGGCGUUGCGAGGGUGCUAAUCCUUCGUUGUACAUAACCGACUCCCGAACCUAUUUUCUCAUAAUUCCGUAGAUCAAAAUAUUUUAUAAGGUGAUCCAACCACAUCUAAAAGGUUGGUGGCAACUCUUGUCUUUUCAAAAAUCUCGUUUCCCAAAAAAAGAGGUUUCGAUAGUCUUAAUUCUACAUAAAUUAGGAAAACAUAUUUCAAUUAGGGUAAAAUAUGUUCUAUAAAUAUCCAAAUUUGUUUAAACCCUAGAAUUUUAUCUAGCAAAAUUUUUUAAGAAAAACACUCUCAAGCUCUUUUCUCUUUAAAUCAGCCUUCAAAGCAAAAAGGAGUCAAAGUUUUCAAAAUCAUUCCUUUCGAGUAGAUCAUCAAACUUUUCUCUGAAACUAAGGUUUUUAAGUCUUCAAAACAGAUGUGGGAUCUGAACUUAAAACAUUAUAUAUAAUUAAUUGUAAUGAUUAGGAAGAAUGAAAGUUGUUGUGAGAACCUCCAAAAUAUGCGAUCCCCUAUGUAGUGCAAGCCUCUUACAUAUGCAAGCCUAGAUAAUAUGUAUAAACACACGAGCCUAGGAAAUAUAUAUGUACAUGCGAACUUAGGUAAUUGUUUAUGCAAACUAUAAUUAUUUAAUAUGUGAACCAUCCAUGUUUAGUUAGGCGAACCCCCUUAAAGGUAUGUGAACCCCUAGUAAUACUAGGCAAACCUAUAAGAGGAUUGUAUGUGCGAACCCUAGGCGAGUGUAUCCUUAUAAGCGAACAUGUAUGUGCGAACCUUAGGUGAGUGAACCCCUAUGGGCGAACCCUAAGUGAGCGAACCCCUAUGUGUGAACCAUAGGUGUGCGAACUCUUAGGUGCAAACUUACAUGUGCAAACCCCAGGUUACGACAUGCAAACUUAUUACAUGCGAACCCUAGGAUUAUGCUAUGUGAACCUUAUGGAUUGUAGUAUGUGAACACUGUAUGUGUUAGAAGCAAACCACGAUAUGUGAACUCUGUAGGUGUCAUAUCCAGACCAUGUUAAGUAAACCCUAUGAAUUAUAGUAUUAUGAGAACCAUACAUGCAUUAAAUAUGCGAACGCUAGAUGCUAUACAUGUGAAUCCUGAAAAAAUAUGAUGCGAACCUGAGAAAAAUUUUAUGCAAACCAUAUAUGUUUGAACCUUACAUAUGAACUGGUUAUGUAUAUGUUAGCCACACUAAGUUUGUUAAAUUGCAUGAAGAAGUUGUACACGAAAUACUAUUUUGAUAUGCACAAAUUAUGUGUAUGUGUAAUUGAUGUGAAUAAAUAAAUGAAAACAUGCAAUGAAAUACUAGUAUAUGGUAAUAAAUGUGCUUGUUAAGCAUGGAAUCAAAUGUUGAUAAUGAGUACGAUAUGAUGAGUAUAUGUGCAUAAUACAUUAACUCAGGACCGGAGGACGGAGGAGUUUCAUAGGAGACAAUGGCAAUUUAAGUCUACAUCGAAAGUCAAUACUGCACGAAGUACGCAGGAAUUUCAUCCAUAAUGGAUAAGCCGGGAUGGUAGGUUAAUAAACCACCAAAUCGGGUCUACCGAGAUGAUAGUUAUUACACUAAAAAGUCCUCUAAAUUGGACAAGAUGAUAUGGUAGGUUAAAAACACCAUCAAAACUGGACCAAACCGGGGUGGUAAGUUAUUGUAGUAAAAGUCAUCGUCAUAGAUGACAAGUGAAUGACCAUCGUCAUUGGGAAUUAAACUUGAGAUGGUCAGUAUUGUAGUGGGUUUUUGUGUGUCGAGCAAUGCUUGAGGGCUGGUAUGAUGGACAAGUGGGUAAUUAAAACAUUAAUUUGCAUUUGCAUUUACAUUUACAUUUGCGUUUGCAUUUCAUCAUAUAAAUAAAUUUCAUAUAUGCAUUGAGUUAUUAUUUGUUCCAUAUAUUAUUCUUAAAGUUUUAUUAUGCUAUAAAUUAAUUGCCGUACUAUUUGAUGAUUAUAUAUAAUGGUUUAAGAUUAGUCUCACACUGCGAUAUUGUAAGUUCAUUCCCCCUUUUCUUUACCUUUCAGGUAGCGCAACAAUAAAGGAUUCGGAAUGGCAUAGGAAGAACCUCAGAUUUACAGCUUGUUUUACUUAAAAGUUUCCACUAAAUAUUUCUUUAAUCGUUUUGGGGUUGUAAUUAUAAAUUAUUUCUUGCUAGGAAUUUUUUAGCUUAUUUGUUUUAAGCAUGAUAUUUAGUUAAACCCUGAUAUUUGCAUGCUGUAACACCCCAAACCCGACCUAGAUGUUAUGGCUGAAUUUGGUGAUGUCACAUGGAAAGAUUUUGAAAACAGGUUGAUUUAAUUAACUGAUCAUUUAUAAAACCCAAAUUCCUUCGUGUUUCAUACAAAAGACAUUAUUUUAACAAUUUAUUUGCCAAUUACUUAUACAGCGGAAGCUUUAAUCAUUUAUGUUUGAAAAUGCAGUCGUGUUUUUAGGAAAAUCAUUGUUUGCAUAAAACCGUUGUUUUUAAUAAAAUGUUUUACCAAAGUAAUUAAAUCAGAAAUAACCAGUUAAUAAUCAAACAGCCCAGAGAGUCCCCAAAAAUUACCACUCUCAAAACAAUUACCAAAUCAUAGAUAAACCAUAAAUACAAUUACCAAAUCAUAGAUAAACCAUAAAUAAAUUAUCUUAAACAGUUUUACGAAUAUGUGGUCACUGCUGAGUCCCUGCAGCACCGGUCUGCCUAAGACUAUGGAUUACCUGACAGAAUAAACAAACAGACGUGAGUUUACGUAAACUCAGUUUGUAACCCAGCAGAAUUAAGCAUGCAAACAUACAGAAUUAUAAUCGCAGACAGAAACUGAUACAGAUCCGGAUUCAGAUAUCAGAUUCAGAUAUACAAAAUCCUACCCUCAUCCUUUACACACCAUCUCUGACCAUCCCAUCACACCAUAUGGGGUUAAAAACACCUAUCCAUCCCUACACACCAGGUUGUGCCAUAAAGACAUAUAUAUCAAAAAAUAUGCAAUCAAGCUACAAGAAUAUGGGCGAUUAACACCGUACAAAAUAUUUCCUCCACAUAUAUCAAUCCCACCCUAGCAGUUACAGAGCAUACAUACAGAAUUAACAGAUAAAUCAUGCUUAACAUGCUUAUAUAAACAGAUAACAUAUAUUCAUAACAUAGACAUGCUCAGAACUGUAUUUUAGUCUAACAGAUCACAUAGUUUUAGGGUUUAGUUAGCCUUUACUGACCCUAUGGUAGGCCCACAGUCGAUUAGGACUACCCAUGCGACCCUACAGAAUAUUUCAGUAUAAUGGGCCCACACACCCAGAUUGGCCAUGCCCGUAUGGCCCACACGGCCUGGCCCUAAUUCCACAUGCCCGUCUGGCCCACACGCCCAACACUCGAGCCAUCACAUGGUCAUGCCUUCGUCAACCACACGGCCAUGUACUCGUACACGGUCUACCACAAAGGUGACCACACGCCCAUGUGGCGUCUACAGAUUCAUUUUUCGGCUUUUAUUGAAUCUCAUUUUUCUGUGUUUUGAGUACACACCUUUUACAGUUGUGAUGCAAAAGUAAUCCCGAGCCCUCCGAAACCUAAAAAUAGAAUACCCAGAACAAAAUUAGCAAUCGAUUAACAAAAUCCUCUAAUCUAAAUCGAAUAAGGCAGACUUACUUACCGACUACACCUCCGUUUACUUGCACAAGUUCAAUCUUUGCAAAAAAACUGUUGUUUCCACCGCUUCUCCUACAUAAAAAGUACAGCAAUGAUUUAACCCUCAGAAAUCAAAUGACGAAAGAAUGCAAACGCAAACCCACUUUCCCAAUACACUAAAACAAAAUGUUCAGAUCGCACGAGAACAAGGAUUAGGGGCAAAGUCAAGGAAAUUAAUUAAAAAUUAACCCUUUGACAAAGAGUAAAGGAGACAAAACAAGAUUGGGGAUUUUUCUUUGUUUUGGAAGAUGAGUAAUGUCAAGAAGAAACCAGAAUUUUGGGGAAAAAUAAAAAUAAAAUCAAAUAUAACAGCCUAUCCCCAGAUUCUCUCCAUCAAAACUACCCACUAUUCAGAAUUCUAAUUCAACCGAAACUCAACCACUAAAUUGAGCAAAAUAAUACCCACGCUCGCACAGGGAUUCAAACAUAGGACCUCCAACACACCAACACCCUUACCACUCAAACCAAUAGGCUCAUUCUGAUUUGGUUUUAUAGAUAAUUAAAUAUAAGCCCACUGAACAAAAGUAAGGCUUGGAUCAAAAAGUAACAAAAUUGAGACCUGAAACCAAGACCUCUCAGAUACUCCCAAAACACUUAACCACUGAAGCAGAUACAUAAUUGUGUCACAUUUUCAUAGAAACAGACAUAAAAUAUUCAAGGCGUUACACAUGCUUUUCGAUUUAGAAAACCUUUACUUUAAAUGUUUUUUUACUACUUUACAAAAUAAUAUUCACAUUAAUAAUAUUGUAAUUGAAUGGUUAAGUGAAGCCAAUUUAAGCGAAUAAAUGUUUUCCUAAAAACAAAAAGGUGAUCUUGAGUGAAAAGAACGACUUUACAAGACCACUUCAGUGAUAAAUGUAACGCCUUCAACUUAGCCGAAACUCCUAGGCCGGGUUGGGGUUUACAUAUUUAAUCAAUAUUUUUCCUAACUAGAUUUUCAUGUUGCCCCAUUUUCAAAUUCUAAUAUAAUAUGCUCCCCAUCUUCUAUUUCUUUUCUUUUUCCUCUUCUUUUCUCUCAUUCUUGCCCCGUAAUUCCAUCUUUUGUGCUGCCAAAUUUUUCCCUUCAUGAAUCACUCACUGUUCAUUGAUUUCUACCUUAAUUUAGAUUAUCGUUAGUAGAAUUUGCCAAGAAUCUGUAAGUACACUUUAUUUCAAUAACUAGAUCCCAUAUAUCCAUUGUGCCAAUCCCUGAUAUUAAUCUUUUCGAUUCGUUUAAUCGAUUUCUUUUGAAUUUCUUCAAAAUCCUUACUGUUGAAUUUAACAUAUGAAUUUAACAUAUGCAAUCGUUUAAUCUAGGUUAAUUGGAUCAAAAUCGAUCGCAAGAAACGUUAAUCGAACCCGUGGUGAAAGGCGUGUGUUCUUUACCAAGUGAAUAGGAGCAAACUAUGUGUAGGUUUAGGGCCACACGACCAUGUGCACCUAUAAAUCAUAAAGUACUUCAUGAACCGCGCAGAUUCAACCUGUUACAUAGUCGUGUCCUUACUAUAGGAUAUUUUAUCAUUUUCCACACAACAUCAACCUACUACAUGGGCUGGCCCCAUAAUUGUGUAACUCUUCCACACAGCCUCAAGACUUUUACAUGGCCGUGUAACCUCUAUUUUACAAUUUUUCCUAGAAAUUUAUGAAUUGUUUAAUUUAGUCCAUAGAUUAUUUUUAGAAAUUUUUUACACUUAAUUGAGUCCCUGAUAUUAUGUAUAUUUUGGAAUCUGCGAACUGAUUGACUGAAUUAUUACUAUAAUAUGCAUGAUAUGUGAACGAUACAUGCCUACUGUCGUUGUAUUUUUGAUAAACUACUACUGUCACUACUGCUUCUGUCUUACUGAUUGCAUGUUAAGCCUGUCUGCUACUACUGUUGAACCGAAUACAUGUCAAAGCAUAUCUUUUGUCUCUGUAAUGUUCUUUUUCAAGCAUGACAUAUUACAUUGCAUGAGGUGGGACAAUAUAAAUAAAGGAAGUUCUAGCAGUUUAAUAAUCUAGAAACACUGGUGGUUCAUCUACAACUUACUGGUAGCUUACUUGCAAACUUUUUAUCUGAAAAUAAUGGUGGUUUACCCAUAACUUUUACUGGUAGUUUAUCUGCAAAUUACUGGUGGUUUAUCCACAACUCGAAGUGUAUGGAUGGAUGCGUUAUGGGGAACUCUUACUGUAGAGUGUAAAGGUGUUGGGUAGGAUCUUUUUUGAUAAACUAAAAUUGCAUUGUCAAUCAUAAGCAUGCAUAAGCAAACUGAAAACUCUAAAAUGCUAUAUUGAUGUUGAUCUGAAAAACUGAUAUUAUGUAUUGCAAUAAUAUCGUUUUUGUUCAGAGAACUGUCAUUUGGUAUGCUUUGUCUAUUGUUUUGUACUGAUUUUCUUAUGAUUGGACUCACAAUGAACUCUUUAAGCUCACCCCCUUUAAUUUUCAUCUUUACAGAUAACCCACAAGGUUAGAACGCGGACUCGACAUUCAGAGGGCUUGUCUCGAAAAUUUUCAUUAAAAGUAUUUAGACUUUAUUUUUAUAAUUUUUGAUAUUUUGGACUGUAAUGUUUUAUAUAAACCGUGGCAUGGGAUUUUAAUUUGGGUUAUUUGGCAUGCAUAACGUUUAAAUUGAUUUUAGGCCAUUGAAGCUCGGAUUUUGAUUUAAAUAUGCGUGAAAUUCUGGCUUUACAUAAAAAUUAAGUUUACUAUUAUUUAGUUUUUAUUCAACAUGAAAAUGACCCUAACCAUAUGAUGAUUAUUCCCAUUAUCCAUUGAUUGAUGUGAUAUCAUGUGUUCAAUAUGAUUUUAGGAGCUUAAAUGGCUUUUUUUAAUAUUUUUUAUAUUUUUAUAAUAUUUUUUAUAAUUCAUUAAAAUUCAUUAUAUUAUUUAUAAGAAUUUUUUUUAAAAUUAAAAUAUAUUUUAUUAAUUUUCUACUUUUAAUAAUUAAUUAAAAUUUUAUAAAUUUUAUAAUAUUUAUAAGUUUUUUAUUAUUUUUAUAAUUUUUAUAAUUUUUAUAAUUUUAUAUCAAUUUCAAUAUUUUUUUAAUUGUCAAUGAUUUUUUUCUUAUUUUUAAUGCUUUUUUUAUAAGUUUUAAAGAAUUUUUAUAUGGUUUUAUAGAAUUUUAAAUAUUUUUAUUCAUUUUAAAAAUAUUUUUUUCUAAUUUAUUAUAUAUUUUAAAUUUUUUAUAAUAUUUAAGUUAUUUUUUUAAUUUUUAUAAGUUUCUAUAAAUUUUAAUAUUUUUAUUAUUUAAUAAUUUUUAUAAUUUCUUCUGAUUUUUUUUUAUAAUUGUAAUGAUAUAUUUUUUUAUAUUUUUUAUGAUUUUUAGUAAUUUUUAUGAGAAGAUAUUAUAUUAAACCAAAAGCUGCCAAUUACUAUUAACGUGAUCAACCAUUGAUUUUGUUAACAAAGGGGCUUAGUUAAUUAUUUUUUAUUAAUAGUAAAAGCUCAAUUAAGUGUGAGUUUAAUACAGGAACUUAAUUGAUUUUACAUAUUUUCUUAAAAAAUUAACAUAUAAGCCUUAUUUAAAAGUAUAUCUAAUAAAAGCACCAUCUAUCCCAUCAAAAUGAGCAAAAGUCAAAAAAAGUCCAAUUCCGAAGCUUGAGUGUCGCAGUAUCCAACUUAAAAAAUAUUUUUAAAACAAAAAAAUGUAGUAUUGAAAAAAUCCCUUAAGAAAAUGUAAAAAAUGUUUUUGUAUUAAAUUCACACCAAUUGAGCUCCAAUUUCAAAGCUUAAGUGUCGAAGUAUUCAACUUAAAAAAUGUUCUUUAAAAAGAAAAAAAAUUUAAUUGUGAAAAAAGCCUUUAAGAAAAUGUAAAAAAAGUCUUUAUAUUAAAUUCACACCCAAUUGAGCUCCAAUUUCAAAGCUUGAGUGUCGCAGUAUCCAACUUACAAAAUGUUAUUUUAAAAGAAAAAAAUGUAAUUUAAAAAAAAAAACCCUUAAGAAAAUGUCAAAAAAGUCUUUAUAUUAAAUUCACACAAAAUUCAACUCCAAUUCCAAACUUAAAUAUAGUAGUAUCCAACUUAAAAAAUAUCUUUUUAAAAGAAUAAUAUUUAAUUGUUAAAAAAUCCUUAUGAAAAUGUAAAAAAAAUAUAUAUUUUGUAUUAAAUUCACACUCAAUUGAGCUCUAAUUUCAAAACUUAAGUGCCACGGUAUCCAACUUAAAAGAUGUUCUUUAAAAGAAAAUAAUGUAAUUGUGAAAAAAGCCCUUAAAAAUAUGUCAAAAAAAUCUUUGUAAUAAAUUCACACCUAUUUGAGCUCCAAUUCCAAAAGUUGAGUGUCAUAAUAUCCAACUUAGAAAAUAUUUUUUUUAAAGAAAAAAAUUUAAUUGUGAAAAAAACCUUUAAGAAAAUGUCAAAAAAAAAUCUUUGUAUUAAAUUUUCACCUAAUUGAGCUAUUGUAGUUAAUUAAAAUAAUCAAUUAAGCCCCUUCGUUAAUGGAAAUCGUGAUUGGCUAUGUUGACUAUAAAAAUAAAUUGAUAGACCAAUCAAAUGAUGACACGUGACAAUUUAUCAUUUAAUAUAAUAUUUUCCCAUAAAAAUAAAUAAAAAUAAAAAUAUAUAAUUAUUAAAAUAUAAAAAAAUAUUUAAAUUGGUAGAAACUUAUAAAUAUUAUAAAAAUCAAAUUAACUCUAAUAAAUUAUAGAAAAUUUUAUAAAAUUAAUAAAACAUUUUUAAAAAUUUAUAAAAUGUAUAAAAAUUAUAAAAAAUUAUAAAAAUUCAUAAAAAUAUUAAAAUUGGUAGAAACUUAUAAAAUUAUAAAAAAAAUCACAAAAACUUGAAUUGGAUCAAAAUAGUAAGUUGAACUGGUUAAUGAUGCCCACGAAACCAACUAAAAAUCUGAUUAAGGCAAGUGCACCUAUCAAUUAAUAAUAUAGCUACGGUGAACAAAGUUAUCAUUCCCAUGAGGACUAAAAGUACUAGUAAUUACCGCCUUUCUAUUAUUUAACCGACAAAUUGGGAUAAUUGAUUAAAACUAAAAUUAACUAAAUUAAUUAACUAAAGAACACAAAAAGAGCAAAUCAGGAAAAUAAACAAUUAACAACCAAGAAGCGAGACAAUACCUAGGAAAGAAUUCACCUAGACCUCAUUUGUCAUUAUCAAUCUAUAUUACGCAAUUUUUUGAUUUAGCAUCUUGAUCCGUAGAAAUUCCUAAAUUAUGCUAAUAUCUCUCUUCAAGACUAAGAGCAAUUGAAUCUAGGUUGAUUAAUUGAAAUUCUUUCUAAUUAAAACUUCUAUUGUCGUAUUAACUCAAUCUUGAAUUCCUCUAUUAGAUUUUACUCUAAUUCAGUAGAUUUAUGUCGACCUAUUUUUAAGAUUGCAUGCAACUCUACUCAAUUACGUUAGAUAUACUCUUAAACAGGGUCUAUUUCUCAUAUGAUUUAAUCAGACAUGGAAAUAUCAAACCAAGAAUUAAGCACAUAUAGUUGAGAACAAAAUCCAAGUAUUUAUGUCGUAAAAAUAUAAAUCAAAUUACAGAAUCCAUCCUAGGGUUCAUCUCCCUAGGUAUUUGGAAAAUUAGUUCAUGAUAGCAAAUAAAAACAUCUCAAAGACAGUAUAACCACAAGAAACAAAGAAACUCAUAAUAAACUUCAAAGAAAUCAAAAGGAGAUCUUCAAUUUUGAUGGAAAUUUGUUUCAGAGUCGGCUUCAAUGGUGUUUUUUGAGUUUUUUUCAAGAUUAUUCUAUGGCGGCUCUCUCCUAUCUUCUCAUUAUUGUCAUAUACAAGUCUCAAAAUGCCCAAAAAAACCUAAAAAUUGCAUUUCUUCGCUGUUUGGAGUGCAAAUUGCAAUUUUGACACGGUCUCACACACGCCCAUGUGAUAGCCCGUGUGGCUCACACGACCGUGUGUCCAGCCUGUGUGGCCCUUAUACCUUGAUCUGAUUUUUGCUUCUUUUGCUUCCAAAUGUUCUCCUAAGUAGAAAAUCAUGAAUUUAAAGGAUUAAGAGCAUAAAAUUCACCAUUUUACAUCGAAUAAUCAUCCAAAAAUGCAUUAAGAAUGAGAUUAAAGCAUGUUACUUUUAGCAAUUAUCAGUUAGAUCGAAAUCGACAAGGGUACCGAUAUGCGAAUGCUUGGAUAAUGAAAAUUUAGUUUGAUAGUAUCUAACUGUACCAAAAAUACUUUAUAUCAUACAAUACUUAACAAAAAAAAAUUCAACUUUUUAAGGUCCAAACUAUUAUACUGUACUUAAAAAAUUGAAGAUAAAAAUUUUAAAAAUAAAAAUAAUAAUUUAUCAAUAUUUGAGUUGAUAACACUACCAUGAAAUUGGUGGAAUAUUCAGAUCUGUCAUCUUGAUCAUUAAUCGAUUUACUCUUCUAAUAUCACAAUACAAACCACUUUUGUCUAUAGUUUCUACCAUAUCGUAACAUUUAACCAAUCUAUAUCGAGAAUAAUAUCAAAAUUUAAAAAAAUGUAUCGAUAAUAACAUCAGGAACAACAAUCUCCUCAUGAACUCGAAUAACAUAAGCCUUGGUAGUAGUCUGAGCUUCAAAUCUGAUAGUCAUAUCUUUAAUCUCCACUUUGCUAUUCCCCACAUUAUCAUUAUAUUUUGAUUGUCUAGUUUUCUAAAGAGUGGUCACAACCUUUAUAUUCUGUUUCUCGUUUCAGUUUGUCCAUUUCAGACAAUCUCGUUCUUAAUUUUCCUAAUAACCAUAUAAAUACAAGCCUCGUUAUUUAGCCAACACUCACCUCGACGAGUUUUCCACCGUGAAUACAAACCGAUCUGUCCAUGUUGCGAACACAGCCAACACUGGCUACUAACAUAAUCGGAUAUCUCAAUUUACUCUAUUUCGACUUAUUUUUUUCCCAAAAAUCCUAAUGAAGAAGUGAAACGAAUAUAAACAUCUUUUGAUUUCUUCGAUGGAGGAGUCGAAAACGAUCUAAUCGUACUCUGUUUACUGGAAUCAUAGAGUCUCAACUAAGUCUAUUUCCUUUCACUGCAUACGCCUUUGAUUUUUGUGAUUGUUCAAAUAAAAUUACACUCUUUCAAUUUCGGAGCUCUUACUAACAUCUGUAUGUCUUCAUUUAAACCCCAUUUAAAACAAGUACACAUUUCAGCUUCUACCGGUACAAUAUCUCUGGUAUAUUUAUUGAGUUUGAUAAAUUCUCGUUCACUCUCUACUAUAGACAUAAUUCUCUAUUUCAGCUCUAGAAAUUCUCUGUGCUUCUUUUCUAGGUACAAUCUACUAAUGCAUUUCUUUUUAAACUCUGAUUGAAAGAAAUUACAAUUUACUCAAUCAUUAGGAACAACUGUUGUCAAAGUUAUUCAUCUCCGAUAAGCUUCAACUUUCAAAGUGACAUAGUGCUUGAAAUUGUCUUCAGAAGAACAUACUAUUUAAUCAAAACUCAUUGAGUAUUUUUCCAGCAAUAUUCAAUUCUAACCGGAUCAUCAUCAGUUUUAUCCCUGAAUUAUUCGAUCCCACGUUUCCGAAUCUUAUCAAUAAGAGGUCUGUGAACACUUACCGAAUUUUGAGGAAAAGAGAGUAUUGUGGAAGGCACAAUCAGAGGUGGAGUUCGCAAAUCCAUAAUAUUAGCUCACAUAACUUUGAGAACCAUUAGUUAAUCUUUAAAAGAAAACACCUCUUAUUUCACUAUCUGGCCUUUACGAAACGACACACUAAAACUAGCUCCCUGAUUGGAAACAAAAACAUUACCAUUUAUCUCAUCAGAUACUGCACGAUUUAAACUCAAUUGACAUAAUAUAUCUAAAAGAAAGCAAAGCAAGAUUGGAUCAUAUUGCAUCACAUUAUCCUAGAUUAAUGUGGCAUAUAUUUCUAGGCUCAACACAUGCUACGUUUAGUCCUAGAAUCGAUUGAAUUGUAGCACUGAUAUCACUAAAUGUAACACCCCUCACCUAGUCCAGUCACUGAACCCGAGCUUUAGAGUGCUACAAUCAGAGCCGAAACAAAACACAUUCAACUCACAUUGAUUAAUUCAAAUAAACAUAGAAUUAUUUUAUAAAUACACAAUUAACAUUCAGAUUAAGCAUAAGUCACACAAUGAUAGUCAACUCAAUGCAUAAUAAUCAAAUAUAACUUUUCUCGGGCCUUAUACGAGGUUACGUAUGCUCUCAUAUUAACCUAGAAUUUAACUAAGACUAAUUUGCAACAUUUUCAAAAUUUCAAAUCAAUUAAAUCAUAAAUAAAUUCUUCAAAUAAUAAAUCAUGUCAUAAAUAUUCAAAUAUUAUUGUAUACUAUUAAAUUUAAGUCUUAUUCGAGCUUACGAAAGCUCUUAAGUUGACUCGAACAUAGAUAAGGAUCAAAUUGAAACAUUUUCAAAAGAUAAAGGUAAUCAUGCAAAACAAAGGUUACACGUCGUGUACCCAGGCUGUGUAACACACUGUGACCGUGUGAUUCAAAAUACCAAUUUCAUCAGAAGAUACACGGUCGUGUAGCUACGCCGUGUAACAAAUAGGAAUCGUGUGGCUCAAAAGACUCCUACAUUAUAAUGGUCACACUACUGUGUCACCAGCCCGUGAUUGACACACGGUCAUGUAGUACAAAAUGUGCCAUUUAACUACCCAAUUCUUAUCAAGACAACCCAAUGGCUCAAAUGGUGCAUAUUUGGCCAUUCAAACCUGCACAAAACCAACUAAUACUUAUACCAAUACAUGCAUUUAGCCAACUACAAGACCAUUCAACCAUACCACAUGAAAUGAUAACAUGGUCAAGCUUAACAACUUAGGUAUUCAUCAACUACUAAAACAAGAAACUUUCAUCAUCUUAACAUUUCAAACUUAACCAAUACAUGUCAUAUAUUAAAUUCCUAAUCACCUAGCCAAUAUGUCUUAUUGGCACUAUUACACAACAAUGUUAUAAGCAUAACAAACCAUUUAACUAAUUUGGUACAAAUCUAUACCAUUCCUCUCACAUUAAUCCAACUCUUUUUCACCUUCAAAUUAACCAUUAGAGAGUUUCAAAUAUAAUAUAUCACAAUGCCAACAAACAUAUUUCAAACAUCAUAAUAAAUAAUCCAAAAUCUAUCACACCCUUAGUUCAAACAUAUGAAUACCUCAGUUACUUAACAUAUACAAUUGAAGCUUUAAAUACUUAUCAUAUAUAUAUAUAUAUCCAAAAUAUGCAUAUUAUAUAGACUAUAUCAUCACCAUUCAAAAUAAACACAUUUCAUAUCAAAACCUAUACACAUGCCACAUAACCGAGUCUAGAACGAAUUAAAAGUCUACCGAGACUAAAGCUAGAUAGCUUGAGCCUUGGAGAUGAUCUGAUAGACACAUUUCGCAAAAUGCCAACAACAGAAAAUAGAAAAUGAAACAGAGUAAGCAUUAAAUAUGCUUAGUAGGUUCAUAGGUUCAAAAUAAUGUAACUUACCUUAAUUCUCAUAUUACAAGCAAAACUAAUCUUUUUUCCUAUUACCACAAUUCAUAGCAAUAGAUGAGAUCAUCGGAAGCAAGUCUCAAAGCAAUUUAAUUUAUACAGUGUCAUUCAAAUCAAUUCAAUGUCAUUUAAUCAAUAUUGUCAAAUAUUUAUAUACUUCAGUUACAUUAUUCAAUCACCAUAUAACAUAUCAAUUCGGAACACAUAUCAUCAUUUCAAUCAUUUACCAUUUUCAAUUUUUACUCUUCAACCCAAAUCAAUAUUAUUCUAUCAAAACCUUUGAGCAGAAACAAUACUUCCAACAUUUCAAUUUCAAAUAACCAAUUCCAAUCACAAUGUACAACAUCAAACAACUAGUUUCUUUUAAUUUUAACCAUUUAGCCUGAUGAACCAUAAUGAAUAGAUAUGGAUAGGUGGGUAGCCACCCAAAACACACCUGAUUGCUCAAACGAGCUAUAUCAUCCAUAUACACACCAAGGCACUAAGUGUCAAGCCCGUAGGCUACACAUCUUUCCUAAAGCACACCUAAAUCUUCAUAAAGAUAAACUCGGUAAUCCGCAACAAAUGUUGGAUUCUGGUACCAUCAGUGAAUUUCCCGUACAUCUAUGUCACAGUUCAUAUAAAUCUCAUACAGCGUGCGAAUAACCCAAUUGGCAUGUCAAAUAUAUCAUUUCCAAUCGUUCAUCCAGGCACGAUUUACACAUCCAUAUCAUUUAUUACAAUUCAUACCCUUCCUCACAUUUUGUACCGUUCCAACCACAAUUCAAAAUAUAAUCAUAUAUUAUCAAUUUAAUCCACUUGAUAUCAAAAUAACAUAUAUUCACUUUUUAACAAUAUAAUAUACCAUGGAUAUAACAUACACUCGUAUAAUAAAUUUUACAUUCAUUCAACACUAUAUAUCUAUCCGCAUUUUUUUCACAAAUCUCACAUUUUCCGAUAUAGUCCUAUUUAUGCCUUAAGUUAUUGAAAUUACAUUUAUAUACAUAUAAUCAAUAAAUACAAUCACACAAUUCAAGCAUAAUAAGAAAAUACUUUUCAUAUGAACUUACCUGGAAAACGACAACUACUAAGUGUCAGGGACUAAUCUUCAAUUUCUCCUAUUUCUCAAUUAACUUCUGAUUGAUAAUUAUCAGUGUCAAUUACCUUAUAACAUCUUAUUUAAUGCAUAUGACUAAACCUGCCCAAAAAGUGAGAGGGUUUGGGUAAAAAUAUAGGCCCGAAAAAUAGGCUUGGGUAAAAAAACAAGGCCUAUUUAGAAAUCGGGUUGAGCCUUAGGUAAUGCUUUUUCGGCCCGGGCAUGGGCCGAAUAUGUAAAAAAAAAACUGCACUUUUUUUGUUUUUGUUUUUUACCCUUUUUUUAUAUUUUCUUGUUUUUUUUACUAUUUUGCUAUCAUUUCACCGAUCUUAAUGUUAUUUAAGUAUACAUAUGUUUUUAAUUUAUUUUCAAUUUGUUGGGAAACAUUUAUUUUAAUAUUUUUAAAUUUCUUAUGUAUUACAUUUUUUAAAAAAAUUAUAUAAAAAAAUUAAUACGAGCCAGGUCGGGUCAAGCUCGGGUUUUAACAUUUUUACCCGGGUCGGGCUUGGGCAAAAAUUUAAGCCUAUUUUUCAGGUCGGGCAGGGCAGGGCAGGGCCUUGCAAAUAGGCCUAAAAUUUCGGUUGGGCUCGGCCCGGCCCAUGUCACCUCUACAUAUGAUAACUUAAUUUUAUUUUACACAAUUUCCCUAAAAUUUUAUAAUUUAUUCAAUUUAGUCUCUAAAACUGAAACUAUAAUAACUUUUACGUUUAAGACUCAUUUUUCAUUUUGGUUUCAAUUUCAUCCUUGUUCAGUCCUCUAAAUUCAAUAAUUACAAAAAAUUUGUGUCAAUUCAAAAAUAUUUUCAUUUUGGUCCCUAAGCUCAAAACUAACAAUAUUCACUUUACAAAUUAGUCAUUAAUCAAUUCUAAACUUUCAAGCCAUUUAAUAAAAAGAAAACAUCAAAAAUCAUCAAUGACAAUAUUCCGAAACUUUAACAAUUUUACUAUUUAAUUCUCGAGUUAACUAGAUUAAGUUACAACGAUAUCAAAAACAUAAAAUUCAUGAAAAAUAGAUUUAAAAUUAAUUACCAUGCAAAGAUAAGAGUUGACCGAAUAAGGAAGCUUCAAAAAUGGCUUCAAGUUUGUUUUUGUGCAAAACGGUGGAAAAAAGACACAUUAAUGAAGAUGGCAACUUUGUUUUAUAUUUUAACAUAUUUUAUUAAUAAAUUAACUUUUUUUUUAAUCAACCAUUAAGCCACCCGUCCACUACAUUCUUAUAACGUCUAAUUUUCCAUUUAAAGUCUUGAUUUAUUUAGAGAAGGAAUCUUUUAACAAGUAAAAUUUAUAAAAUUUAUAGUGUUUAAUUUUUGCAAUUUUUAUAAUUUAGUUAUUAAAUUUUAAUUAAUUACUAAAUUGAUAAAUUAUCUAUUUAAAAUUCAAUUCACUUAUACAAUAAUUCUAUAAAUAUUUAAUAAAAAUAUUUAUGAGUUCGAUUUAUAAAAACAAUAUUGUAACGCCCCAAUUUUCGGGAAUUCUGUGAAUGUUGGCAUAGGUUUAAUUAUGUUAGUGAGCCUCUAGAAGGCCCAAGCUUAAGAUAGAACCCGGUAAUUUUAGUUAAUUUUUGUUUCAUAAGAAAAAUAGGGUAAAAUUAUGAAAUAGAACCUAUAUGAAAAUGUUUGAAAAUGCUAUAGGCUAAAUUGAAGUGGCCAAAUAAAUAGGAGUGCAAAAUAGGAGGAUUUGCAUGACAAACCUCCCAUUUUACAUAAAGUGGCCAGCCAUCAUGUUGUUGUAGACAAUAUGAGCACUUGAUAUCCAUAAUUCAUGGUACAAAUUGAUAAUGAGUUAGGUAAAUGUUCCAUGAUAAUGGAUUAGGUAAAUAUUCCAUGAUAAUGGGUUAGGUAAAUAUUCCAUGAUAAUGGUUUAGGUAAAUGUUCCAUGAUGGGCAUUUCAUGUCUUUUGUAAUAAAGAAUUAAAUGGAUGAAAUAUGAAAUUUUAUUAAAAAAAAGGGGUGAAAAGAACAAAGUUUUGUCCAUCUUUGUUCAUCAUAGCCUAAAGUUAGAGAAGAGAAAGGAGAGGAGAAAGCUCUUGAAUGUUCGGUCACUUGGGGAAGAAAAUUGAAGGUAAGUUCAUGGUAGUUUGCUUCUAUCUUGAUGUUCAUGAGUUCUUCUUGAUUCUACCUUAACUCUUGAAGCAUAUUUUGGUUUUUGGUUGUAUUGUGAGCAUUUGGUCAUGAAUUAAAAUGAAGGGAUGGUUAUUGUUUCAUGUUCUUUUGAUGAAAAAUGGAAGAUAGGUGAAGUUGAGCCAAACAAAUGAGCAUGCAUGUGCCUUAGAUGCUAAGGGGAAAAAAUCGACUAACAUGUUGUGCUUUAAAAUGAUGAAAUGGAGACUAUACUUAAGUAAACUCAUAGAUAUGUGAUGAUUGAUUGGUAAUAUACAUGUUUAAAUAACAUGCAUGCAAGUUAUGUGUGAAAGAGUGAUUUGGUAAUAAAUCUGCUUGGGACAGCAGCAGUAACGUGACUUUGGAAAAUCACCAUAAAUUGUGGGAGAUGAGUUAGAAGCUGCAUAAAUGAUGUAAUUAAAGCUUAAUGAGUCUAGUUUCAAAUGGAAUAAACGAGAACAUAUUUUGAAUUCUGUACAAUGAGAAAUUUGAUUCGUAAUGAAGAGUGGUCAGAUUAGUCAAACAGUGAAACAUGGAAAACUUUGAGAAAAAUCUGGUAUUUAUUGGCUAGACCAAAAAUUCUGAAAAUUUUAUGGAUAUAAGAUAUAUGAGUCUAUUUUCAAGGAAAAUUAACGGAACUUGAUUUGGAGUUUCGUAGCUCCAGUUAUAAAUGAUUUAGUGACUGUUGCUCAGGAAGACAGCUUGCAGUGAAAUUAUGAUUAUGUGGUAAACAUUGACAAAAAAUUGUUAAUGAGUUGCUUAUUGUCUUCUUAUAAGCUUACUAUGAUCUGUAGAUGUGGUUGGCCGAAUAUUGUAAGGGGUUAAUACGUACUUUGUAUUUGAAUAGUUAGAUUAACGUGUUAGUAAUCCAAUUGUAGGCGGUUCGUGUGUGGAUUUCAUCAACAUAUCGUCGCAAACAGGUGUGUAACUAACACCCUCUUUCUUAGUCUAGAUCGGCAAAAGUCGAAAAGUCGAAAUGCCAAAAACCGGUAUUUUGUAGAUUUGCGAGUGUGCGAAUGCUCGUAAGGUAAAUCGAUUAAUGUUUUUGGUAAGCUGCAAUGUUUGGACUGCAAAGUGCAUGAUUUCAGUGCCCUCGAUAUUUUUGGGCUUAAUGGGCCAAAACUGGAAUGAUGGGCCAACGGGCCCAGUUCGGUAAGAACCCUCGGUAGUGAUUCUGUUAGUACGUGAAAGGUAGGAAUAUGCAUGAAAAACCUUAAAAUAGAUAAAUUACUGAAAUACCUUUAAAAGUGAAAAUUUUACAGUUUUACCUCUAGGAGAUAAAUUACCGAAAGACCCAUAGGGUUAAAUUGACCUAAAUGCAUGUUUGACUGUUGUUAUUUACUGCAUGCCAUGUUGUUAUUAUCUGAUGCAUGGGACUGGGAUAUUGACGGAGGAAGUACUGAAAGUGGCUUGUCCACGUACUGGAGGUUUUGCCUCAAUUUACUGUUAACUGAGCAGCAAGGCUGCAACUGUGGAGUGUUGGGCUGGGUGGGUUGAGCUAUUCCCCACAUGGAGUGUAUGGCUGGUACGGGUGGAGUGUAGUGGUUGGUGGGUUGAGUAGUCUCCCCAAAUGGGCUUGCAUAUGUUUACUGAUGUUGCAUGUAUUUUGAAAUGGGCCUAUGGGCCAUACUGUUAUCUGAAUAAGGGGCUAAGGCCCAGUUUAUUGUAAUCUGAAAAGGGCUCUGGCCCAGUACCACUGUUACCUGAAUGGGCUUAGGCCCAAUGGGCUUGAGCUGACUUGGGCUUUGAAUGGGUUUUUCUUACAUACUGAGUUUCCCCAAACUCACCUCUUCUUUAACCUUGCAGGUGAGCCUUGAUGUGGGUGACUUGGAGCCGGAGGGGAUUCAGAGUGGCCAUGGUGAAUACUUUUGGGUUUGAAAAAGAGACUGGUUUUCUUAAGUUAUUUUUAAUUGCUAUUUAAUUUUUGAGUUGUAAUAAGGCCAUUUUAACUUUAUUUUCUUCUUUGAUUUUUCUGGGAUUAUAUUAUUAAAAACAACUUUAAAUUGAUGGAUACUAAUUCAAAUGGGCUAGACUUAGGGUGUGAUUUCAAAACGAUACUUGUUUUUUUUUUUAAAAUAACACGACGUCACGAAUAUUCGGUUUACCAAAGAUAAUCACUCAAAGAAAUUUCAACUUGUUAUAACCAAGUGUGACAAUGGAUGUAGGCAUGUCUAGGAUUGGAUCCAAUCGGAGAGCUUGGUACUUAAGCAGCUUUCAUGACUCACCUCCUCUAUUAUGGAUACCUACCUAGUGCCCAGCUUCCAUUCACUUGGUUAGUUUGUGAAAAGUCGGCCUUUUUUUAAACACUAAAAAGGGAACACGGGUUUUUGACUUCAAAGUGGCAUGUCGGAUUCGGCCUUAACGACUGGGCCGGGUUUGGGGUGCUACAAAUAUCCCGAUAUUUCAUUUUUCACCAUCACUGCUUUUAGAGUUGUUGCCCUUGUAUCUUAAAUAACUAUUCAUUCAAUAAAAUUAAUGGACUAAAAAGUCAACAUAAUACUAUCGUAGACUCGUAAAUAUUAAUUAAUAAUAUUUAUUGACACGAUUAUCAGAGAACGAAUUUUUGAACCACUGAAAAUCGAAUUGUUACAAUCAAAAUUUAAACUAUUUAAAAAAUAAGGGGAUUAUUUAAAAAAUAAGGGGAUUAUUGGAACAUAUUCAAAAUACUUAUAAUAUUUUAAUAAUUAUAAUUGAAAAAUAACUAAUGAAUUCCUAUAAAUAGGAGUGGAAAGAAAUGUAACUCAAAGUGUUGGCUUGAGGGAAAAGAUAAGAUGAUUCUUAGUAAACAAAUUAGUAACUCCAGCACAGAUACUAAGGUAGACCUAAUUGAUUCAUUGAACAAAACCAAAACAAGGCAGCCUCUACUGAUCUCUUGUCCGUAUGCUAUAUAUGCAUCAAACCUGGUAAACACAUCUCCACAAUAAUCAUAACAGCCACAAACCCUCCUUUUCUUUAAAUAUGACCCACAAAACUCAAAAGACAUACUUGAAGCUUGCAUGAUCUUGCUUUAACCUUUGCUUUUUUGUUGUGGGAGAAAGAGAGUGGUUGGCAUGUAAAAGUCCAAUUCAGAAUUUGACACAAUUAAACAGUUUGAUAUCACAUUCCCAAUAUUUGAAUCAAGCCAAUCUUCAGUUUAUAUAUAUUCCCUUUAAAUAGAAGCUUAAUUUUUGUAGCUGUUACUCUGUUUUUGCUUGUAGAACAGUUGCUUCCAUGGGGGUUUCCUCCUUGUUCCUCCAUGACCUGUUUCUUCAUUAAAAUUCAAAAGGAUAUUGCAUGAGAUCUAACUCUAAAAUGACUGCUUGAUGUAAACUCUGAAAUUUGCUUUACUACUAAUAUAUGGUAGGUAAAUGUCAGUGUCAUGUUUGGGGCUAAUGAUAUAUGAUACUAUCAAAUGUUACAGAAUUGUUUCGUUGGUUCCAAGUUUCACCCAUGAAGAUAAUGUGGGUUUUGUGCUAUUAACAUAGAAAUAAGCUCAGAAUCACGUCCAUUAUGGGACAUAGAAUAGCAUUCAUGUAGUAUAAACUUCUUUGUUUAAAUAUAAAGUUUUGACUUAUCUUUGACACCACUCUAAAGUUGCUCUAACAACUGUGUCUGCAUCAUACUGAAGUCUAAAAUGAAGCUAUGGUUUCUUUAUAUAUAUAUAUAUAUAUAUAUUAAACUGAGAUAGUUUCCAUCAUCUAAUUAAAAAAAAAAAGUACACACCAAACACUUUGCCUUUCACUAUAUAUACACUCUUUUGUAUUCUUCAAUGAAUACAUACUCAAGGAGUAGUUCAUAAGUUCACUCAAACGGAAGAGAAAUCAGACCAAAAAAAAAAAGAAAUGGGAGUUUUUCUUCUUUCAUCACCAGCAUUUCUGGUUUUCUUCACAUUUUUCAAUUUCUGUCUACUUGUUGACCCUGUAUUUGGGAUCACCAGGCACUACAAGUUUGAUGUAUGUACUAAUUUGAUAGGAUUAUCAACCAAAUAUCUGUUUGAUUGUGACUUGGUGUAUCUUAACCAUUUUGUAGGUCAAGUUGCAUAAUGUGACACGUUUGUGCCAUACAAGGAGCAUUGUUUCGGUGAAUGGACAAUUUCCAGGGCCUCGCAUUGUAGCAAGGGAGGGUGAUCAGCUUCUCGUAGAAGUGGUCAACCAUGUGCCUAACAAUGUUUCUAUCCACUGGUAUUGAAGUUUACUUUGAAAAUGACAUUAUGCAGAUAUUACAUUUACAUGCUGAAUAAAUUAUCUAUGCUCAAUGGGGGAAGGUCUAAAGUUUCAUGCUAUAUAUGGUGAUGUCUUUUCGCAACAGGCAUGGCAUUCGACAGCUUCGAAGCGGUUGGGCAGAUGGGCCAGAAUAUGUGACUCAGUGUCCCAUACAAACCGGCCAAAGCUACGUUUACAACUUCACCAUUAUAGGCCAAAGAGGGACUCUCUUCUGGCAUGCCCAUAUAUCAUGGCUAAGAGCCACUCUUUAUGGUCCCAUUAUCAUUCUUCCCAAGCGUGGCGUACCUUACCCUUUUGCUAAGCCUUACAAGGAAGUUCCCAUUGUCUUCGGUAAUGAAAUCAUCAAUGAACCGAUCCAUUAAGAUUCUACAUUUACUUUGCAAACUCAAAUUGACAUGAAGCCCUUUAUGAUAAAAUUGCAGGAGAGUGGUUCAAUGCAGAUCCUGAGGCUGUUAUUAGCCAGGCACUCCAGACUGGUGGAGGUCCAAAUGUCUCUGAUGCUUACACCAUCAAUGGUCUCCCUGGACCACUUUAUAACUGCUCAGCCAAAGGUAACAAAUAGCUAAAAUUUUGUUUUAAGCUUUAGACAUACACACACAUGUACACAUACAUUAUAGAGCUAUGGGAUUCACUUGUGGACUAACAAUUUUGACAGAUACAUUCAAGCUGAAGGUGAAGCCUGGCAAAACUUACCUUCUUCGUUUAGUCAAUGCGGCACUCAAUGAUGAGCUCUUCUUCAGCAUAGCAAAUCACACACUAACUGUUGUUGAUGUUGAUGCCGUUUAUGUUAAACCAUUUGAGACCGAAACAUUUCUCAUCACCCCUGGUCAAACUACAAAUGUGAUCCUUAAGACUAAACCAAGCUACCCAAAUGCCACUUUCUUCAUGACUGCUAGACCAUAUGUGACAGGCCAAGGAACAUUCGAUAAUUCAACUGUUGCCGGUAUUUUAGAAUACGAGUCACCACCCAAUAGCCUUCAUUCAAGCAUAAUGUUGCCCUUGUUUAAACCAAUUCUACCUGCUUUGAACGACACUUCCUUUGCUACAAAAUUCGGGAGUAAACUCCGUAGCUUGGCCAGUGCACAAUAUCCUGCCAAUGUGCCUCAGAAGGUUGAUAAGCAUUUUUUCUUCACUGUUGGUCUCGGAACCAGCCCAUGCCAGCAUAACCAAACCUGCCAAGGACCUAAUGGAACCAAGUUUGCAGCUUCGGUGAAUAAUGUAUCAUUUGCAAUGCCGACUACAGCAUUACUCCAGGCUCAUUUCUUCGGCCAAUCUAACGGAGUUUACAUCCCUGAUUUUCCUAGCACUGCUAUGACUCCAUUUAAGUAUACAGGCUCACCACCUAACAAUACUAUGGUAAGCAACGGAACAAAGGUAGUAGUGCUUCCUUUUAACACUUCCGUGGAGCUAGUUAUGCAGGACACGAGCAUUCUUGGAGCUGAAAGCCACCCUCUUCAUCUACAUGGCUUCAAUUUCUUUAUUGUCGGCCAAGGUUUCGGUAACUUCGAUCCAAAUAAGGACCCUGCAAAGUUCAAUCUGAUUGACCCCGUUGAAAGGAACACUGUUGGUGUGCCAUCAGGAGGUUGGGUUGCAAUUCGUUUUCUAGCUGACAAUCCAGGUAAGUGACAUGUUAAACACCAAUUAGAUUCAUCAAAUGCUUGCUUUGAGUUGACUAUGAUUAUCAAUGACAACAAGAACCACAUGUUUGCAGGGGUAUGGUUCAUGCAUUGCCAUCUAGAAGUGCACACCAGCUGGGGCUUGAAGAUGGCUUGGAUUGUCUUGGACGGUGAACUUCCUACUCAGAAAUUGUUGCCUCCACCAACAGAUCUUCCUAAAUGUUGAUCGAUAUGACACUUCUUGUGUUUAUUUUGACCAAAAAGCUGCCUCAAAUUUUUGCUUCAAUUUCUACCAUUUUGAUUUAUUGACUUCGUUUUUUUUUCUUUUUGGCAUUGGCCUAUCAAUGGUCCAAAUUUGUUUUCUUGAUUCUCGAGGACAUAAACCAGUAAGCGAGCAAUUUAUUUUAAAAUAAGAUCUGCAAUUGUCAAUACAAAGAAAUCACAAUAACAUACUGGCAAUCCUUUUGUUGAUUCAAUCUUAGCCUAUGAAGCAUAUCUGUACAAUUUUCAACUCUUUCACAGUAAAUUUAUUGCUUCUUUUUUUUUUUCAUUAAAAUACCAUUGCCCUUAUUAAUCAGCUCAACCUGAAUCAUACCAACUUAGCUAGUUAACUAUAAUCAUAUUUCAGAAGCUUCGUUAAUAAUAAUAUGAUCUAGUCUCAUAUAAAGACCCACUUUAUUAUAGAAUUUAUUAGUGUUCAUUAAAGCAUUCAACUUGGCUGAAGUUGUAUAACUCUUUCUCUUAACUUCGCAUGAAAAAUUCACAUUCCAAGGACUUUAAUGUCGGCUUUAUCUUAUCAUGAAAGGUCAAUAUUGAAAUUUUGAACUUCGUGGUGAGGUGUGCUAGAAGCUGUGAGUAUACACAAACAUGCAAAUACAGAAAGAACGAAAAUUCUGAAGAUAGAAAGUUACAAUUUUUAAAUAUAGAAAAUUGUUAAUGUAAUUCCAAAUUAACGUAGGAUUUCAUUACACCAUUUUAAUCUAGUGAGUUAGGCACGGUGUUUUUAGCUGUAAGACUUUACUCUCCAAGAAAAUGUUGGAACAUUUUUAAGUAUUUAUAGUGUUCCAAUAACUAUAAAUGAAUGGGUGUAAUUAAUCAAAAGAUUAUAUUGUUUGAUUUUUUGAAAAAGAAUUAUAACUAUUUAAAUAAUUUUAUUUGAAUAGUUAUAAUUAAAUGAAUAAUUAUGUGUUUAUUUUAAAGACAUUAUUAUUCAGAAAGACACCUAUUGAUGAAAGAUGUCUCUAUGAAGAGACAUGAAAAUUCCUAUAAAUAGGAAUGAGAUUUCAUUUGGAAAUCAUACCAUUAAAUUCUAAUAUUCUUACUUUCCUUCCUUCGUUUUCUAAUAUUAUUAGAUUAUUCCAUAAAGUAUUACUGCAGAAAUCUUUUAUAGAAAUUGUGUUUCCUGUCAUACAAUUGCUCAGUGUAUAGUGAGCUAUUCUCGUCAGUGCAAAACGCGAAUAGUCAUUAGCUUCAUUGUAUCCUCGAGGUUAAUUUGCUUGGAACUCGUUUGCACACCGAAGAUAGGUGAGGGCGAAUAUAACCUUAAAGAUAGUGGCUUGAUACACGCCUUGGAGCCUUGUCCUAUUUCUUCUUCUAUUCGAGUUUCGUUCGCGUGUUCGAGAUUUUCCUCACCGAAGAUUUGUACUAACAAUUUUAAGGUUAUAUUUCAUGAUGACUACCACAACUCAUGAUAGUGGAACACUAAGGGAGUUGGCUUCCAAUUUUGUCAAACUUGAUCGGUUUGAUGGUGGCAAUUUUCGACGAUAGCAGAAAAAGAUACACUUCUUGUUAUCAACUUUGAAGAUUGCUUAUGUUUUGGAUACUCCAAGACUUGACGAGACUGAAAACGAAUCUGCUGCUGCAACCCGAGAAAGACAAAAAAUGGGACAAUGCUGAUUACAUGUGCAUGGGCCACAUAUUGAAUGGUUUAUCUGAUGGUUUGUUCGACACCUACCAAAAUGAGGUCACUGCUAAAGAAUUAUGGGAUAAAUUGGAGACAAGAUACAUGACCGAGAAUGUUACAAGUAAGAAAUUUCUUGUCAGUCAUUUCAAUAAUUAUCAAAUGGUUGAUGGUCAUUCUAUUAUGGAACAAUUCCGUGAUAUUGAAAAGAUGCUAAAUCAAUUCAAGCAAUAUGAUAUAAAAAUGGAUGAAAUGAUUGUUGUAUCUUCCAUAAUAGACAAACUUCCUCCAUCUUGGAAAGACUUUAAAAGAAGUCUAAAACAUAAGAAAGAGGAAAUAUCUCUUGAGGCUUUGGCAAAUCAUCUUCGUAUUGAAGAAGAAUAUCGAAAGCAAGAUCAGAAUCUAAAUUCUGAAAAUGCCAAAGUGCAUGUUACGGAGGAAGUACAAACUACUAAACCAUUCAAGAGAAAGUUCAAACAGACUGAUAGAGCAUCUAAGUUCAAAAAGAAACAAAAGGGCUCAUGCUAUCAUUGUAGUAAGCCGGGACAUUUCAAGAAUGAAUGUCGAUUUUUAAAGAAGAAAUCAUCUUCUGAGGCUGAUAAUAACGAAAAGUUCGCUGCAAUGAUAUCUGAAAUUAAUAUGGCUCAAGAUGAUAAUACAUGGUGGAUUGAUACCGGAGCAACCAAACAUGUGUGCAAAGACAAAAGCAUGUUCACAAAGUUCACACAAUGUGAAAAUGACAAUGUCUUAUACAUGGGAAAUUCUUCCACCACAGAAAUCAAAGGCAAAGGGUCUGUUGAACUACAAUUCACUUCUGCAAAGGUUUUAACCUUAAAUGAUGUAUAUUAUGUACCAGAAGUUAGGAAGAAUUUAUUGUCUGGAAGUCUGUUAAAUAAGUUUGGUUUCAAACUUGUUUUUGAGGCAGAUAAGUUUAUUUUGUCUAAGUGAGGAAUUUUUAUAGGGAAAGGGUAUAUGUAUAAGAGUAUGUUCAAACUAAAUAUUAUUAAUAAGAAUAAAAAUACUAUUUCUACUUAUAUGGUUCAGUCCUUUUGUUUAUGGCAUUAUAGAUUAGGUCAUUUGAAUUAUAGGAAAUUGAAUGACAUGUAUAAGUUAGAUUUAAUUCCUAUUUUUAAUAAUAAUAUUGGAAAAAUACAAUACAUAUAUGUUGACUAAAAUUACAAGAAACCCUUUCCCUAAGGUUAAAAAAAAACAAAAUUGCUUGAUUUGAUACAUAGUGAUUUAUGUAACAUGCAUAAUACUCCUACAUUAGGUGGAAAGAAAUAUUUUGUCACUUUUAUUGAUGAUUGUUCUACAUAUUGUUAUGUAUAUUUAUUGCAUUCAAAAGAUGAAGCGCUUGAUAGAUUUAUAAACUUUAAAUUUAUCAAGUGCUUAAGAUCGAAUAGAGGUGGAGAAUACUAUAAUCCAAGUUAUUUUGAAUCCACUGGGAUUAUCCAUCAAGUUUUAGCCCCCUACACACCACAACAAAAUGGUGUAGCUGAAAGGAAAAAUAGAGUCUUGACUGAAAUGGUAAAUUCAAUGUUAUCAUAUUCAAGUCUUGGACAAGGUUUUUGGGGAGAAGCUGUUCUAACAGCUUGUCAUAUAUUGAAUAGAGUUCCUAAUAAGAAAACUAAAAUAAUCCCCUAUGAACAAUGGAAAAAAAGAAAACCAAACCUUAAUUAUUUGAAGGUUUGGGGUUGUAGAGCUAUUGUCAAAGUUCUAACACCUAAACGUAAAAAGUUAGGUGAAAGAAGAAUUGAAUGCAUAUUUAUAGGAUAUGCACAUAAUAGCAAGGCAUAUAGGUUCAUGGUAAUUGAACCAAAUGAUUCAAUUUCAAUUAAUACUGUUAUUGAAUCAAGAGAUGUUAUUUUUUAUGAAAAUAGAUUUAAUUCUAUAUCAAGACAAUUACAGCCACAAAAAUUGAUUCAUUCUUCAAAUGAGAAUGAGAUUCCAUUGAAACAAAUUGAUAAUAAUGAUGAAUCUUGUCAAGAUUUAAGAAGAAGUAAGAGGAUUAAAAAGGUCAAAGAUUUUGGACCAGAUUUCAUUAUGUUUCUUGUAGAAGGAAAAGGUGAAAGUAUAUGCAAUAAGAUACCUUAUUGUUAUAAUACGGAAUCUGAUCCUAUUACAUUUGAAGGCAAUGAAAUCUCAAGACUCUGCUUUUUGGAAAGAAGCAAUAAAUGAUGAGAUAGAUUCAAUAAUGGGAAAUCAAACUUGGAUCUUAGUUGGUCUUCCAUCGGGGUCCAAACCAAUAAGUUGUAAAUGGAUCUUCAAAAAGAAAAUGAAGGUCGAUGGAACCAUUGAUAAGUUUAAAGCAAGGUUGGUAGACAAAGGUUUUACACAAAAACAAUGUAUUGAUUACUUUGAUACCUAUGCUCCAGUAGCAAGAAUUGCUACAAUUAGACUCUUAAUAUCACUUACCUCUAUAUAUAAUUUGGUUGUUCACCAAAUGGAUGUUAAAACUGCAUGUUUAAAUGGUGAAUUGGAAGAGGAAGUGUACAUGGAACAACCAGAAGGAUUUGUUGUUCCAAGACAAGAGCAUAAGGUUUGUAAGCUUGUUAAAUCUUUAUAUGGACUUAAACAAGCACCAAAACAGUGGCACCAAAAGUUUGACAAUGUUGUUUUAGCUAAUGGCUAUAAAAUAAAUGAAUCCGAUAAGUGUAUAUAUAGCAAAUUUGAAAAUGGAAAAGGUGUCAUAAUUUGCUUAUAUGUAGAUGACAUGCUCAUUUUUGGCACAGAUUUGGAACAAAUAGAAAACACAAAGAAAUUCUUGUCAAGUAACUUUUCUAUGAAGGAUAUAGAUGUAGCAGGUGUUAUUCUUGGGAUUAAAAUAACACAAGAUAAAAGCACUAUAGCUUUAUCACAAUCACAUUACAUUGAAAAGGUGCUUAAAAAGUUUGAUCUUUUCAACUAUAUAUCUGCAUCUACACCCAUGGAUCCUCAAAUAAAAUUAGUAUCUAAUGCUGGUAGGAAAACUGAUCAAUUGAAAUAUGCAAGUCUAGGUUUACAUACAACUACAUUGAUCUUAAUUGGUUGUCUUAUGUACAUAAUGACUUGUACAAGACCAGAUAUUGCAUAUGCUGUUGGGAAAUUGAGUAGGUACACAAGUAAUCCAAGUAGCUUGCAUUGGCAAGCUUUGAAUAGAGUACUUAGGUACUUAAAGAAAAUUAUUAACUAUGGAUUGUGUUAUAAUGGAUAUCCUCCAAUUUUAGAAGGGUAUUCGGAUGCUAGUUGGAUUACAAGUUUGGAAAAUCAUGCAUCUACUAGUGGAUGGAUUUUCAUUCUUGGUGAAGGAGCCAUUUCUUGGGGUUCCAAGAAACAAACUUGUAUUACUGAUUUCACCAUGGCAGCAGAAUUUAUUGCAUUAGCCGCUGCAUCUAAAGAAGCAGAAUGGUUAAGAAAUUUGCUUUAUGAUGUACCUUUAUGGCCUAAGCCAAUUUCACCUAUUUCUAUUCGUUGUGAUAGUGAGGCUACUCUAGCAAAGGCAUAUAGCCAAGUAUAUAAUGGAAAGUCUAGACGCAUUGGAUUAAGUCAUAGUUAUGUCCGACAAUUAAUUUUUGAUGGAGUGAUCACUAUUAAUUAUGUGAGAUCAAGUGAAAAUUUGGCGGAUCCUUUGACAAAAAGUCUUGCUAGAGACACAGUAAAAAGGACUUCAAAAGGGAUGGGACUCAAGCCCAUUAAUUAGAGUCACCCAUGAUGGAAACUCGACUCAAUGCUUGGUAUAAUGUCAAGUCUUGAGUUCAAUGAGACAAAGUACAUCAUCAGUAUGUGAUUGUUAGCAUUGUAAAUAAAUCCAUCCUAAGAUUAAAGUGCUAGAUACCCUUAAUGAUAAGGGAAUGAUGAGUAAUGUACUCUUAAUGGACCCAUAACAUAAAAAUGUUAGAGUGUUAUAAUUACAGGAACACUCUUGAUGGGAUCUACCUAUGUAAGUGGAAGUAUGGCCGCUUCUAGGAGCUCAAGGGUUUGGUUCUGACAGCACUCAUGGAAAGAGGACACAGACACAUGGCCAUAAUAGUGUCCCUAGAUACUAUGCAUUGACCGAUGUUGAAAUUAUUGUGUGAGAUGUGUUCGGUUAAUCAAAUGAAAUAGUUGGUUCAAAGCUUAGUCUACCAUGCAAUUUCGAUUAACUUUAAAAUAUUUUCACUAAGUGAAGGUUCAAUCGUAAGAUACCUUUCAUUUAUGCAAAUUGAUUUCCAAGAAUAUCAAAAUCUAAAAUAUUUUGAAAAUGGUGGGGAGAUUGUUGGAACAUUUUCAAAUAUUUAUAGUGUUCCAAUAACUAUAAAUGAAUGGGUAUAAUUAAUCAAAAGAUUAUAUUGUUUGAUUUUUUGAAAAAGAAUUAUAACUAUUUAAAUAAUUUUAUUUGAAUAGUUAUAAUUAAAUGAAUAAUUAUGUGUUUAUUUUAAAGACAUUAUUAUUCAGAAAGGCACCUAUUGCUGAAAGAUGUCUCCAUGAAAAGACAUGAAAAUUCCUAUAAAUAGGAAUGAGAUUUCAUUUGGAAAUCAUACCAACAAAUUCUAAUAUUCUUUCUUUCCUUCUUUCGUUUUCUAAUAUUAUUAGAUUAUUCUAUAAAGUAUUACUGCAGAAAUCCUUUAUAGAAAUUGAGUUUCUUAUCAUACAAUUGCUCAGUGUGUAGUGGGCUAUUCUCGUCAGUGCAAAACGCGAAUAGUCAUUGGCUUCAUUGUAUCCUCGAGGUUAAUUUGCUUGGAACUCGUUUGCACACCCAAGAUAGGUGAGGGCAAAUAUAACCUUAAAGAUAGUGGCUUGAUACACGCCUUUGAGCCUUAUCCUAUUUCUUCUUCUGUUCGAGUUCCGUUCGUGUGUUCAAGAUUUUCUUCACCGAAGAUUUGUACUAACAGAAAAUUAGCAAAUCGACGAGGUAUUUGUACAAUUCCCAUGUAUCUAUCAUAGUGUUCUCUACCUCUAUUCGAUCUCACAAUAUUAUUUGUUUUUCACGUUGUCUUAUUUAUAAUCCUUUUCACUAAGACCUGCAAUCCAAGAAGAUAUGUGUUAGCAUUAUCCUUAUAACACCCAUAUCCAAGCCGAUCGUCGGGUUUAAGCUACGAGAUGCUACAACUACUGAUUGAGUAAAUUCUAAUCACUAUGCAACAUUCAAUCAUGAAUAUUUAUCACAUAAAAGUCUUUAUAAAUCAGUCUUCCAAUUACUCAGAAAUUCUAUUAAAUAAAUAUGAUAUUUAUCUCUAAAAAUAACAUUUUAAUCACUAAAAGAUAAUAAAACUUUCAUGCUUAUCUAAUCACUUUAAGCAAUUCAGUAGGGAAUCCUAAUACCCUAGUCAACUCAGCUUCUAAUUUUUUCAAAUAUGUCACAUUCAAGUGAAUUGAACUCAACAUAAAAGAAACAUAUUCAAGGCUCAAGUGGAGAAACAAUUUCGUUAUAAUAGGACAUGUAAUAGCCAAUUUUGGCCCAGGUAAAUAAACAAAAAAUAAAACCCAAAUAACCAAAUAAAAAAUCUAAAUUUUAAGUCCAUUUACAACAUAUGUAUAACCCUAGCCCAACUACACAAAACAUUUCAGCGAAACCCUAGCCCUUCCAAGCUUCAACCGCCGCAUGCCUUGGCCACCACGCCCCUAAUCGGCUCCUCUUCCACGUGUCGCACGACACCUGUAACAAAAUCAAGUAGAACAGCAAAAAAGGCACGCGAAUGACAAAGAAGUAAUUAGCAAAAGAACAAAAACCAUGAAACCAACUGUUGGUAGAUUGGCUUUAAAAGCCAAGAUCUAUUCUUUGUAAACGGUUACGAACACUUACAAACAUCAGAAAAUAAAAACAAAAGAAAACUUCGAAAGGUGAUUUUAAUCUUCACUUCCGUUUCAGAUUGUUGCUUGGUUCUUUUAUUUUAUUUUUUUCUUCAUUUUUUUGUUCAUAAAUAUUAAGUAAUAAUAAUAAAAAAGGGGAAAAGCCCAUCUUCGCACACCGUCGGCCACCGAGUACGGUGGUGGUACGGCGGGCGGUGAUGGAAUCCGAUUCGUCGGAGAAACAAAGGGGGAGAGAGUGUUUUGUGUUUUUUUCUUUGGAAAAUAAAAGAAGAAACGGCAGAUUGAAUAAAGAAGGAAAUUUUAUGGUUUUAAAUCAUUUGAAACGGCGCCGUUUGGUGAGUAGGGGUUUGUGCAUUCUCCCUAAAUGGGAGAUUUGUGCGAUUGGUCCUUCUCCUUCGCAACCACAUUCAAUCAGGCCCCAUUUUCUGUUUUCUUUUGUUUUUAAAAUUUAGCCCUCAGAUCUUGUUUGGUUUUCGUUUUGAUCCCUAAUUAACCUUUUAGUAUUUAUACUUUUAUACCCCGAAUUUUAAUUCGUUUUUAGCCGUAUCCUAAAUCUAUUUAAUUCAUUUAUUAACCUUUUUUUUAUGUUUCAUUUAUAUGUUAUUUCAAAUAUUUUAUAUGUUAUUUAUUUACAUCUAUUCUAAUUUUAUUUAAUGUACUGUUUGUUCAAAUUCUUAUUAUUUAUUUUAACUUGCUUUAUGUAUAUAUGUUAUCUUAAUCUAUUUUAUAUGUAUUAUUUAUUUUUUAUUCCUUACCUAUUAUAUAUAUAUAUAUAUGUAUACAUAUAGUUUAUUUCAAGCUUUUUUAUAUAUUUAUAAUUCUUUAAAAAUCGUGUUGUUAUAUAUUUAUUUCAAAUUAUUUAAUAUUUUAAGUUAUUGUAUAUUAUGUAUUUGAAAUAACUCUCUUUAUAUUACUCUUGAACUGUUACUAUUAUAAAAUAUAUUUAUAUUGUCUAUUUUUAAUUCUUUUACGUAUUAUAUAUUUUAAACUUCUUAUUUAUUAUUUUUAAAUUAACUUAUAUAUUAUUUAUUUUGAAAUUAUUUUAUAUACUUUAUUUUAAACCCGUUCUACUUAUUCCAUAUUAUUUAUUUUACAUUUUUAUUUAUACAUAUUAUCUAUUUUAAAAUUAUUCAUAUAUCAUUUUUAAUUUGCUUUAUGUAUUAUAGAUUUUAAAAUUCUUCUUUUACAUUAUUUUGAAACUCAUUUAUUACCAUUCUUGAAGUCUUUUUACAUUUUAUUUAUUUUAAUUUACUUUAUACUUUAUUUUAUUUUUAAGAUUGUUAUAUAUUAUUUAAUUCAUUGGUCUUUAUUUAUCGAUGUUAUUAUUUAAGUGAUGUAUCCCCAUUAUGUGUAUUUUAAUUCGUUUAUUUUGUGUAAUUGUUAUUCAUUCGUAUAAUGUUGUGUUCAUGUAUCAUUAUUCUAGGCUCAUUACUAUAUUUUAUAUCACAUCAUCGCCUUAUGAAUCAAGCCUCGUUGCAUUUAUCCAAUAAAUCGUUUUAUUUUAAUCCAAACAAAAUAACGUGCGUCGUUUAAGUAUCGUAUUCGCUAUUAUCCAAAACAAAAAUGUUAAAAUAAGGCAAUGUUUCGCGUUUUGGAACAUUGAGAAAUUGUGCCCUAACUUACAGGGUUUCGACUUUUUUGUUGGUUCUAAAUAGCUAAAUAUCCUUUUGAGUUUUAAAAUACACGGAAUUCCAAUUAAAAUUAAAGAUAAACCUGCGAUCGAGAGUUCAUGGUAUUGUGUCCUAACUUACGGGAUGUGAUACUCCGAUAUCUAGAGACGAGGAAAUCUUUAACAAUCGUUUAGAGCUAAUUCAACCUUUUUUUUUUAAAUCGACACUAAUAAAAAAGGAUCGUAUUUUAAAUCCAUUCCCGAUUUUCAACUUUCGACAUUAAGACACUAACUAAUCAAUUCGGUACCAAUUUUUGGGCGUGUCUAGGGUGCUAAUCCUUCCUCGCACAUAACCGAUUCCCGAACUUGUUCUCUUGAAUUUCGUAGACCAAAAAUACCGUUUUAGUAAACUAAACUUGUUUUAUUAAAAUAAAGGUGAUCCGAUCACACCUAAUAAAGAUCGGUGGCGACUCCCGUUUUAAUUUUUAUUUUCAAACAAAGUUGAAGCCCGUUUUAAAAAAAAUGGUUUCGACAGGACAUAGAAUGAGCAAGAACAACUUUCCCAACAAUUAUUAUUAAAUAAAUUUUUUUCGUCAUUUAUAAGUUAAAUUUAAUUAAUACAAAAUAUAUAAAACCAUAAAAAGUAAAACCUUUUUCAAUAGAUGAAGAUGUUAAUUAUUGUUAUUUAUAUUAUUUUCAAUAUAUAAGACAAUGCUUAGAAUUAUUUAUAACUCUUAUUUACAUUAUUUUCAAUAUAUAAGACAAUGCUUAGAAUUAUUUAUAACUCCUCUCCAACCUUUAAAUAAAAGAAUAGUGACUUUUAGCGCACUCGAGCCCACGUGCUCCUGCACUAACAACAAUAUCCAUGUUAAUUGAGCUAAGACUCAAUCGGCAAGUUUUUUAGGAUUUUUAAAUAAAUUAGAAAAUAUUUUAAGUCAAUUUAAAUCAAAAUCAAAAGUUUUUUUUUGUAAUUUUGCAUUGUAUUUCAAUGAUUUUUCUUGACUUAUUAAUUUUACUUUAGAAUAUUUUUAUUAAGUAUUUAUAAUUUUUGGAAUUUUCCAUCAAGAUUGUAUAAUAUAAGCCAAAAUUGUAUAUUUUAUGAUAAUAGAGAAUGAUAAUUACAUUUAUAAGUUAUAACUAAAUAAAAAAAUAAUAUUAUAAUUAUAAGUGUUAUGUUUAUUAACUUUUCAAAAAAUAUUGUACUUAAUUUAAAUUCAGGUCACUUCGAGUUAUUUGUUUUGAUUAUUUCAAAUCCAAGUUGGAUGGGUUCAAGUUGUUGACUUCUCCUUAUAAAAUUGAGUUGAUCGAAUCAAAUUUUUAAGUUUAAGUCAAAAUUGACAUAUAUAUAUGUCAUUAGUAAAUUAAUCUUAUGUAUAUAGUAAUCCAUUUGUAAUUAGAAGAAAUAACAAAUUAAAAUAAUAUUUAUAAUUUUAUUUGAUGGGACAACUUUUUUUCACUUUUGGCAAAUGGGUGGAAAAAUAUUGUUUUUGGAUAUAGCCAUGGGGACUACGUUGGUGUGGAUAUAUGUUUAAUCUUUGCCUUUUUGUGGGAGAAAGAGAGAGUGGUUGGCAUGUAAAAGUCCAAUUCAGUAAUUGACACAAUUAAGCAGUUUGUAUAUUUGACUCAAGCUAAUCUUCAGUUUCUAUAUAUAUCUCUUAAAAGAGAAGUUUAAUUUUUGUAGCUAUUAGUCUGCUCUUGCUUGAAGAACAGUUGCUUCCAUGGGGGUUUCCUCCUUUUACCACCAUGACCUGUUUCUUCAUUAAAAUUUAAAAGGAUAUUGCAUGAGAUCCAACUCUGAAAUGACUGCUUGAUGUAAACUCUGAAAUUUACAUGGUAGGUAAAUGUCAGUGUCAUGUUUGGGGCAAAUGAUAUACGAUACUAUCAAAUGUUACAGAAUUGCUUAGUUGGGUCCAAGUGAGGGUUUUGUACUAUUAACAUAGAAAUAAGCUCAGAGUCACGUCCAUUAUGGGACAUAGAAUAGCAUUCAUGUAGUAUAGAUUUCUUUGUUUAAAUAUAAAGCUUUGACUUAUCUUUGACACCACUCUAAAGUUGCUCUAACAACUGGGUCUGCAUCAUACUGAAGUCUAAAAUGAAGCUAUGGGUUUCUUUAUAUAUAUAUAUAUAUAUAACUGAGAUAGUUUCCAUCAUCGAAUUAAAAAAAAAAAAGUACACACCAAACACCCCUUUGCCUUUCACUAUAUAUACACUCUUUUGUAUUCUUCAAUGAAUACAUACUCAAGGAGUAGUUCAUAAGUUCACUCAAUCGGAAGAGAAAUCAGACCAAGAAAAAAGAAAUGGGAGAUUUUCUUCUUUCAUCACCAGCAUUUCUGGUUUUCUUCUCAUUUUUCACUUUCUGUCUGUCGAGACCAUUUUUAAAUCGAGUUUUGAAAAAUGGGAAUCGACUUUAAGAAAAACAAAAACGAGAGUCGCCACCAAUAUUUUUAGGUGUGAUUGAAUCACCUUAUAAAAUGUUUUGUUUUAAAACAUUAAUUUUGGUCUACGAAAGUUGAGAAGACGGAUUCGGGAGUCGGUUACGUACGAGGAAGGGUUAGCACCCUCGUAACGCCCAAAAAUUGGUACCUAAUUGAUUAUCAAGUGUCUUUAAUGUCAGAAAUUUGAAAGUUUUAAGAUGCAAACCUCUUUUAAUUAGAAUGUCUCAAUUUUGAAAAUUAAGGCUCAUUUAUUUUAAACGAGUCAAAACAUCACAUCCAGUAAGUUAGGACGCAACAUUUUAAAACCUUUGAAACUAAGCUCGUCUUUCGAAAAUUUCUAUCUCGAAACAACAAAACGCCAUAUCCAGUAAGUUAGGACACUAUGUUUUGAAAUCUCGAAAUAAUUGUUUAAGUUUUGAAAACUCAAAAUCACUUAGAAGGGUGCUUGACUAUUCGAAUUCAACGAGAAAAGUCGCAACCCAGUAAGUUAGGGCACUACCUUUCUCGAAGUUUCCAAACAUCAAGCAUUGCCUCUUUUUUUAAAAAAAAAACCUUGGAAUAUUAUUUUAAAUGACGUUUUAGGAUGACAUAUUAAUGCAUCAUGAAGCAUAGAUGUACAAAAUAUUCUAACAUUUCCAUACAAACAUAAAUAAUAUCAUUAAGACAAAACUAAAUAACAUGAACAUACGUUUAAUGAAAAAAAUCAUACUAGGAUAAAUAUAAGAUAAUAAACAAAUAAAAAUCUGAGUAAACUAAAAGAAAAACAUAAUACAUGCAAAAAUUGUACAACAAUAUAUAUCAUAAAAUAGCAUAUAAAAGAAAUAAUUAAACAUAGCAUAUAAAAAAAUGAAACUAUGCACAAAUAAGAUAAAUGACAUACACUAAAAAAAUGAAUAAAUAGAACAUUUACAAAUUAUAAAAAUAUAAUGCAAUAGUUCAAAAUACAUGAAAUGAUAAUAUAAUAUAUAUACAUGCAUAGAAAAUAUAUAUUUGAAAAUAAACUAUAUAAAAAGGUUAAAUAUUAUAAUAUAUAAAAUACAUAAUCAAAUGUAUAAAAGAUAGGAAUAAAUAUACAUAUUUGAAAAAUGAAGAAAUUAAAAUAAAAAAAAGGGUUGAAAAACUAAGAUAGACGAAGAAUAAAAUAAGAACAAACCACAAAAAGUAAGAACGCAAGAGGGAGAGAAAUUUGAGUGAAUGCUCUCAAGAAUUCUUAUUGCUUCCCAAAACUCAAGUGAUUUACAAUGAAGGGAGAGGCCUCUAUUUAUAGUUGAGCCUCCCCAAAUCCAACGGUACAGAUCAAUUACAUCAACGAUUAAGAUUAAAGGAUAUCUACAAAUUAAAUCUCCAAGAUUACAAGAUCAUAUCUUCAAGAUUGCAUAUCAUAUCUAAGAUUGGAUAUCAUAUCUAAGAUUGCAUAUCAUAUCUAAGAUUGUAUCAUAUCUAAGAUUGCAUAUCCUUAAAGAUUAUAUUUCUAUAUGAGUCAAGUUCAUAGUGGACCUUCAAUCUUUUCAAGUAAUGGGCCAUUUCGAUUGGGCCAAAUUAUAUGUUUGUAAUUUUGUACUAGACUUGGACUUUGUUUUUUUUGGGGGGGGAUUUAUUGUUUUAAAUACUGAAAUGGGCCGGGCAAAAAUGGGCCAUUACACUGUCUACCUGUUGACCCUGUAUUUGGGAUCACCAAGCACUACAAGUUUGACGUAUGUAUUAAUUUGAUAGGAUUAUCAACCAAAUAUCUGUUUGAUUGUGACUUGGUGUACCUUACCCAUUUUGUAGGUCAAGUUGCAUAAUGUGACACGUUUGUGCCAUACAAGAAGCAUUGUUUCGGUGAAUGGACAAUUUCCAAGGCCUCGCAUUGUAGCAAGGGAGGGUGAUCAGCUUCUCAUCAAAGUGGUCAACCAUGUGCCUAACAAUAUUUCUAUCCACUGGUAUUGAAGUUUACAUUGAAAAUGACAUCAUGCGGAUAUUACAUUUACAUGUUGAAUAAAUUAUCUAUGCUUAAUGAGGGAAGGUCUAAAGUUUCAUUAUAUGGUGAUGUCUUUUUGAAACAGGCAUGGCAUUCGACAGCUUCGAAGCGGAUGGGCCAGCAUAUGUGACUCAGUGUCCCAUACAAACCGACCAAAGCUGCGUUCAUAACUUCACCAUUAUAGGCCAAAGAGGGACUCUAUUCAGGCAUGCCAUAUAUCAUAGCUAAGAGCCACUCUUUAUGGUCCCAUUAUCAUUCUUCCUAAGCGAGGCGUACCUUACCCUUUUGCUAAGCCUUACAAAGAAGUUCCCAUUGUCUUCGAUAAUGAAAUCAUCAAUGAACCGAUCUAUUAAGAUUCUACAUUUAUUUUGCUAACUCAAAUUGACAUAAAGCCUUUUAUGAUAAAAUUGCAGGAGAGUGGUUCAAUACAGAUCCUGAGGCUGUUAUUAGCCAGGCACUCCAGGCUGGUGGAGGUCCAAAUGUCUCUGAUGUUUAUACCAUCAAUGGUCUCUCCGGACCACUUUAUAACUGCUCAGCCAAAGGUAAUAAAAGCUUUAGACAUACCCACACAUGUACACAUACAUUAUAGAGCUAUGGGAUUCACUUGUGGACUAACAACUUUGACAGAUACAUUCAAGUUGAAGAUGAAGCCUGGCAAAACUUACCUUCUGCAUUUAGUCAAUGCGGCACUCAAUGAUGAACUCUUCUUUAGCAUAGCAAAUCACACACUAACUGUUGUUGAUGUUGAUGCCAUUUAUGUUAAACCAUUUGAGAUUGAAACUCUUCUCAUCACCCCUGGUCAGACCACAAAUGUGAUCCUUAAGACUAAACCAAGCUAUCCAAAUGCCACUUUCUUCAUGACGGCUAGACCAUAUGUGACAGGCCAAGGAACAUUCGAUAAUUCAACUGUUGCUGGUAUUUUAGAAUACGAGUCACCACCAAAUAGCCUUCAUUCAAACAUAAUGUUGCCAUUGUUUAAACCAAUUCUACCUGCUUUGAACGACAAUUCCUUUGCUACAAAAUUCAGGAGUAAAGUUCGUAGCUUAGCCAGCAUACAAUAUCCUGCCAAUGUGCCUCAGAAGGUUGAAAAGCAUUUUUGCUUCACUGUUGGUCUCGGAACCAGCCCAUGCCAGCAUAACCAAACUUGCCAAGGACUUAAUGGAACCAAGUUUGUAGCUUCAGUGAAUAAUGUAUCGUUUGCAAUGCCGACUACAGCAUUACUCCAGGCUCAUUUCUUCAGCCAAUCUAACGGAGUUUACACCCCUGAUUUUCCUAGCACUCCUAUAACUUUAUUUAACUAUACAGGCUCACCACCUAACAAUACUAUGGUAAGCAACGGAACAAAGGUAGUAGUAUUUCCUUUUAACACUUUCAUGGAGCUAGUUAUGCAGGACACGAGCAUUCUUGGAGCCGAAAGCCACCCUCUUCAUCUACAUGGCUUCAAUUUCUUUAUUAUCAGCCAAGGUUUUAGAAACUUUGAUCCAAAUAAAGACCCUGCAAAGUUCAAUCUAAUUGACCCUGUUGAAAGGAACACUGUUGGUGUGCCAUCAGGAGGUUGGGUUGCAAUUCAUUUUCUAGCCAACAAUCCAAGCAAGUGACAUGUUAAACACCAAUUAGAUUCAUCAAAUGCUUGCUUUGAGUUGAUGAUAACCACUGACAACAAGAAUCACAUGUUUGCAGGGGUAUGGUUCAUGCAUUACCAUCUUGUUGAUUUAGCAAAGAACUAAUUGAAGUAUAGAACAAAAUAUGAAUGAAGGGAUAAUUUAAUUGAUUAACAAAGCAGCCCUUAUAUACAAGUCCCAAGUAACAACCUUAACAAUAAAUAAAUUCAAAUUGCUACUAACAAGCUAACAACUCCUCCUCCUACUAACAAGCUAACAAAUCCCCCUAAGACUUAGUCUUAUUAUUUUAAAAAUAGCUGCAGCCUUGAGAUACUAACAUUCUCCUCCUAACUCAAGUACUGCAGACACCAAAUUUAUUCUUAAGAAAUUCAAAAUGACUAAUAUGAAAAAUGUAGUAAAAUAUCCGUCAUCUGAUCUCUGAAAACCAGUUUCUUCAAUAUUCGCUUUUUAUGAAUUCCUUCUCGACUAGUGUAGCUUCAAGAGUUGCCUCUGAUUGUUUCCAAGCAUGCAAUGCCAUCUAAAUCAAAAUUCCAUAAUUCAAAAUCAUCACAAGUUGCUCUAGAAAAGUCAUGAGAGUGGCCAGAGUGCUUUCCCUUCUUCUAAGAUCUUGUGUUGUCACUAUACUUGCGAUUAAUAUGAUUUAUAGUUUGAUUAACCAAUCUUCUCGUAACUAAUAAUUCAUUUUUCAAUUUUGUAUUUUGCAUUGAAAGCUUAAUCACCUUACCAACUAAAUUCUUAAACUCAACAACAUCUACAGAUGUCAAUUCUUUCACAUAUGAAGCUUCUUUAGUCGGCUUUUGAUUUUGGAAACAUAACCCACUAUUCUCUUCUAAAGUUGCACAUUACGCUUGAUCUCCUGAGAUAAAUUCUUUUUUCGUGGCUCCUCAGCAUGUUCUUCAGAUAUUUCAUGUGCAAAAGAUGAUAGUUUAUCAGAGAGAGAUGUCACCUGCUACUCCAAAAGAGUUACAUUUGCAUACAACUCCUCAUUCUCAAAACACUUGAUUUGCAGUUGUUCUUGCACGAUAGGAUUAUCUUCCUGACACUUGGAUGCCACUUGCUCCUCCUCUAAUGGAUUCAAUGAGAACCUCUUCUUCUGUAUCUUGAUCCUAAACAAUUCAUUGCCACUAGAGUCAAGGAUCAGACACGUUCCCUCUUCGAACAUCACAUUAAAUCUCUUCUCUACCAAUUGCCCCACACUCAACAAGUUUUGAUCAAUCUCAGGUACAAACAGAACAUCUGAAAUCAACUUAGUUCCAGCACAGCUCUCUAUUGCUACUGUGCCUCUUCCCUUUACUUCUAGGUAUUCUCCAUUUCCUAUCCUUACUUUCGAUUUAAAUGACCUGUCAAGAUCUUUAAACAACUUCCCAUCAUAAGUCAUGUGGUUGGUACAACCACUAUCAACUAACCAACUGUCACAUAAAAUGCUUGAUGAGAAGCAAGAGACGACAAACAAAUGGUCAUCCUCUUCUUUAACUACAGCAUGUGCUCCACUUUGCUGCUGAUUUUUUAAUUCCUUACAGAACCUCUCAAUGUGCCCCAUCGAGUUACACUUUUUGCAUUUUACAUAUGGCAUUCUCCAACACCUGAAAUGAGGAUGAUUCUCUUUUCCACAAAACUUACAUGAAGAAUAUUUGUGAAAAUUUCCAGUACCAUUACCUUUUGCAGCAGUUUCUGAACGACUACCACUAUUGCAAUCACUAUUCUUCCAAUUCCACUUCUGUUCCUCUCCUUUUUCGCCUUGCUACAUCUUAGCCUUUAAUGCUCCUUCUAUGCUUCUUUCUAUGCUUCCUUCCUGCCUCAUUAGCCUCAUUUGCUCUUGUGCUUGUAAAGCACUAAUCAACUCAACUACUCUCAAUUGAGUCAAGUCCUUAGUGUUCUCAAAAGAGGCAAUUGUUGCUUCAUAUUUCUCAGGCACGGAGACAAGUAUCUUCUGCAUCAGUCUAGAAUCAGAGAGAUCAGCCCCAAGAACUCUUACCUUGUUAGAAAUAUCUAUCAACUUGUCUGAGUAUUCUUUGAUUGACUCAGACUCCUUCAUUUGUAGCCUCUCGAAUUCUCUGAUCAAGUUCAACACCUUCAUGCUCUUGAUCCUCUCAUCUCCUUGAUACUCAGCUUUGAAGUAGUCCCAUAUUUCCUUCGCUGAUCCAAAAGCCAUAAUUCUAUUGAAUGUGGCUGGCGAAACUGAAGCAUAAAGACAAGACCUUGCCUUAGCCUUCCUGGUGGUUCUCUCCUUAUGCAUUUUGAUCUGAUUCAUAGUUGGAUUAUUAGAAAGUGGAGUCACCUCAUAGUCUUCCUCAAUAGCUUCCCAAUAAUCACAACCCUCCAUGUAUGCUUGCAUUCUCACGGCCCAUGCUUGAUAAUUCUCUCCAUAAAACACAGGUGGGGCUAAGAUGGACAGGUUACUCGAUCCCGAUUCCAUUUUCCUCAAAAAAAAAACCUCACAAGUGUAUCUCUCAAAAUUUUUUUCUCAGAACUCUCACAAAACUUUUCUCACAAGUCCUUCAAGAAAAAUGGCUCUAAUACCACUGUUGAUUUAGCAAAGAACUAAUUGAAGUAUAGAACAAAAUAUAAAUGAAGGGAUAAUUUAAUUGAUUAACAAAGCAGCCCUUAUAUACAAGUCCCAAGUAACAACCUCAACAAGAAAUAAAUUCAAAUUGCUACUAACAAGCUAACAACUCCUUCUCCUACUAACAAGCUAACAAAUCCCCUUAAGACUUAGUCUUAUUAUUUUAAAAAUAGUUGCAGCCUUGAGAUACUAACACAUCUAGAAGUGCACACCAGCUGGGGCUUGAAGAUGGCUUGGAUUGUCUUGGAUGGUGAACUUCCUACUUAGAAAUUGUUGCCUCCACCAAUAGAUCUUCCUAAAUGUUGAUCGAUAUGACACUUCUUGUGUUCAUUUUGGCCAAAAACCUGCCUGAACUUUUUUUUUAAUUUUAACCGUUUUGAUUUGUUGACUUUUUUUUUCUUUUUUUUUUGGCAUUAGCCUAUCAAUGGUCCAAAUUUGUUUUCUUGAUUCUUGCGAAGUUAGGACAAUAAGCAAGCAAUUUAUUUUGUAACAAGCCUCUGAAGCAUAUUUGUACAAUUUGCAACUUCUCCAUACUAAAUUUAUUGCUUUAUUUUCAUUAAAAUACCAUUUCCCUAACUGAUCAGCUCAACCUAAAUCAUACCAACUUAGCUAGAUAGCUAUAAUCAUCUUUUAGAAUCUUGGUUAAUAACAAUAAUAUGUUGUGGUCUCAUAAAAAAACCAUUUCAUUAUAGAAUUUUUCCAUGCAUUUUUACAGGUUUCCAAGUAAUCUCAUAUAUUGAUUACAUUAAAAUUUAAUAAUGUUCAGUGAAGCGUUCAACUUAGCUGAAGUUGUUAACACUUUUUCCAAGCUUUGCAAGAAUUCUGAACAUAGGAAGUUGUAAUGAAAUUCAAAAUUAAUCUAUCUCAGCGUAGCCUUACUUGAUUCCACUAUUAAAUCUCACAAUAUAAUAAUUUAAGUCUAAUUUAUUCUAAUCCAUGUAUAAUUGCAGCAUUUUUCAAGUGUUCGGAACAUUUUCAAAUAUAUAUAAGGUUUCAAUAGUUGUAAAUAAAAAGUUAUAUAACAAAAGUUGUCACUAUUUGUAGUGAUUAGUUAUGUCUCUGAAAUUCAAAAAUUAUGUCACUUUAUUAUUAACAAAUAGUUAUAAUUAUUCAAGUAAACAUCUCGAAGUUCGUUUGCAAGUAAUUCUUUAACACACCAUAAUAUAACUGGACGCGAAUAGAACCUUAAAGAAAGUGACAUUAAUACACGCAUUAAAAGUUUCGUUAAUUUCUCAUAAGUUUAUUUUAUCUCUAUACACCAACAUUAAAUACGCUUAGAACGAACUCUUCCUUAAUAUAAAAAACCAAUUCCUACGAAAAGUUGAAAAAAAUCACUCAAAGAUGAAAGAUAAAACAUAUAAAAUGUUUUUCACAAAAUGAACUCAAUUGUGUGCUCUAAGCUUUACACAAAUCCCAUGAAUGGUAAUUUAUAAGCUUACAAGACUUAACUCUAACUAAAAGAUAAGUAGGAUAAUAAUAUAACUUACUUAUUGGUUUUUCACUAUUUCAAUUACCAAUAAGAUGACCUUCAAUUAUCAUCAAAAUAAUUUAUUAUAAUAAUGAAUAAUCUUCACUAAUCUUGGAAAGCCACAAAAAAUUUAGAAAGCCACAAAAAAAGUAAUGCACACAAUGUGUUUGAAUAAAUGCUCACAAAUAUAUUCUUUAUCUCAACAAUAAAGUACAAUAGGAUGAUUACAAAUGUGGGGGGCCUUUAUUUAAAGUUAAGCUCCCCCAGAUCCUACGGUACAAAUUGAAUUAUAUCAAUGGCUAAAGCUAGUGCCUAUCUACAAUAUAAAAGUUCUAAGGGAUUUAAACUCUAUACAAUAUUAUCUUUUAGGAUUUACAAUAAUUAUUCCGGUAAUCUUAGUUUUACUAGAGUGUUUCAUAGGGCCACACAGGCUUCAAGUAAAUGGGUUUCUCUUUGGGUUCCAUGAAUUGGGCCAAUUCAAGCGGGUCAAAUAAGCCUCAUUUAAUUAGUUGACCUCUAUUGGACGCUCUUUGUACACUAGUCACAGGCUUUUAGUCACAGGCUUUGAUUUGCGGCCCCUAACAUUCUCCCCUAAUCAUUCUUACAAAACCUUCGUCAUGUUCACAGGAUGACAUUAGUUCCCAACUAGUCUUUCUGUCAUGUAGUUCCUUCCCUCGAAACAUUUACCUCAGCUUUUGUCUCAUCUGUCGCCUAAUUCAAACAGUUUCUCUUUUUGGUACAUCUUAUUCGCAAGAUCCUACCACUCUUACUUGCCCUAAUUAUGACUUGCUUCGAUCGAAAUCCUCUUUAUCCUUACAAAUAAGCUUAAGCUUACCCACAUUGAACAUUGAGUUAACCUUAAGUAUUCCCACCAACUCUAGUUUGUAUGCCUCUCGGUUUACCUGCUUUAAAACUCUGAAAAAGCCCCUGUGUCUUUGCCAAACCAAUGAUAAAUUAUAAUAUAAAACACUAGAUAAGUGUUUGAGAUUUACCUUACUCGUAGAAUUUACUUGAUCUGACUGUCUAGUUUGCAUCAUUACUUUUUCCCAUAAAGUCUGAUGCACAACCCACUUCCCUCAUAAGUGGUAGCCCCACUAAUAAAUUAACAAGUUUCACAUUGAUUUGUCACUCCUCUAGUAUUUCUAAAUGGGUCUCCUUAGCAUUCCAAUAUAAAAAGUCAACAUUCUUACCAUAAUGAACAUCACCGGCUAGUUGGAUUGCCGAUAAUACAUUGAUUCCACCUUUCAUGUCUCGACUCACCAGCACAACGCACUAUUGUUUUUGAGUAUCCAAGAUGCAUAUACAACUGACAAAAGAAGCCAACAGAUCAUUAAUCUUGUCAAGGAAACUCAAGCCAAGAACAAAUUCUUAGUUAUCCAAAUGAAUUACCUCAAAGUCUUCCUUGCAUUUUCAUUAAUCGAUCUGUAGUUCGACUUCUUAUACCACUUUAGUGGGGUUUGUAACGUGAACAUGGAUGGGAUCAAACUCAGUGCUAGAAGGAUCAGUGUUACAUGGAUACGACAUGCUCGUCCACACUCACCGCACUAAUGGUUAACCAAUGAGGUAAACAAAGGGAAGAAGAUGGUGGUAGAAUGGAAGAGAAUGAAGUGAAGGUUAGGAAUGGCUUCAAUUUUUGAAAGAGUUAAGAAAUCAUAAAGGAGUGCCUACGUGAGUGUGUAUGAGUUGUUUGCAUAGCCCUUUUAUAGUGGCGGACAAGCUUGGAUACAUGUCUUAAGGUUACUGAUGCAGAAAUCUGAUUUGAUGCUGUUGGAAGUGACAAUGAUGUUACAUCCUAAGAUGAGACGUUUUAGGAUGAUUAACAAUCAAUUACUUUGAGCCUCCACAUGGCCCUCACAUGGUCUUAGAGGAGUUGUCUCUUUCUAAAUUUCAUUGAGUUGAGGUUCGCAAACUAAACCCCAAGUUUGCAGUGUAGUUAAUUCUAUUAAGAGACACAUGUUUAACUCACUAUGAAUGCACUUUGAGGUUCACAAGCUACACUGUAAGAUCUAUGAGACUCGUUACACAAGGUAUAACAAUAUGUAAUGCUUAUAAAUACAUUUUCAUAAAAUAAAGAUUUUUUAUUUUUUUUAUUUUUUUUAUUUUGAGUUAUAUCAUAAAAAUAUAUUAAUUAUUAAUUCCUAUUAUGACUAUUCAAUUACAAAUUUUGAUUUUCAGGGCUUAGGUCAGAUUUAUCUUGAGCUCGGUCUAGAUCGAUCUCAGACUUGAGCUUGGGUUCUGUCGAGUUCGGAUUUUCUCGGGCUUGAAAUUUUUCAAACUCAGAUCGUUACGGCCUUGGAUCGGCACUAGCGAGCUUUCGAACUCGGGCUUGUUUUGCCAGCUCUAGUGAAACUAAAAGAAGGAUUUCAAAAAUUUUAAUGUAUUUUUUUAAUUAAUUUUUAUUUUUUAAUAUAAUUUAGACAACUUUUAAAAUUCGUUCAUAAAGUUUUUUUUAAUUCCAGAAUAAUUAUUUUUUGUGGCCAAAACAAGCAAAAAAGUUUGUAAACUAAGUGGUCCGCUUCCAAGAUAUUUGGAAGAUCCUUGCAUUUAUACUGUCCAUUUAUUUCACCACACUCCGUUCUUCCAUGGAUACCACCAAGUGCAUGACUUCAUCCUCUUCCCUCACACUCAAAGCCCACAUAAAAAAUGCAACCAUAAUCUCCAAGUCUCCAAAUCUUCACCAAAAAAGAGAGAUAUUUUGCCUCAAUAUCAAGAUGUAUGUAUGACAUUAACUUUCUUUUUGGUACCUUUUCAUUUAAAGUUUCCUAUAUAUAUGAUCAUCUGUUUCCUUAUCCAUGUUUUGGGGGUUGGUUUUAGCAGCACGAAACAUCCAUAUGGUUGUCAAUAUCUGCAAAAGAAGAAAAACCCAUGGAGGACUCACAAAAUUUAUGUGACAAAAGAGGGAGAAAGUGUUAUCAAUGAAGCUGGAAAAAAAGGAACCAUAGCAGGAGCUGUUGCUCUUAUUGUUGGCACUGGUAUUGGUUCUGGGAUUCUUGCACUCCCACAGAAGGCCUCUCCUGCUGUAAAUUGCUUUCAAUAGAUAUUGAGUUUUUUUUUACCUUUUGGUGACUGGGUAAUUAAUGAAGUUUUAAACUUCUUUUUACACUGCAGGGUGUGGUUCCAAGUUCAAUAUCCUUGGUAGUUUGCUGGGCGUUUUUGCUAAUUGAAGCACUUUUACUCAUUGAAAUAAAUGUUGGUUUACAAAGGAAGAGGAAGAAGGAGGAGGAGGAAGAAGAGGGUGAAUUGGAGGUCAUUUCCAUAAGGACAAUGGCACAAGAGACACUUGGUGAUUGGGGUGGAAAUUUGGCCACUGUUAGCUAUGUUUUCUUGGGUUACACUUCAAUGAUUGCCUAUAGUUCCAAGUCUGGAGAGAUCCUUUUCCAUUUGAUCAAUUUUCCUGAACCAGCUUCCGGUUUCCUAUUCACUGCACUUUUCACAUUUCUCAUCUCUGUUGGUGGAACACAAGUCACUGAUCAAGUGAACCAAUGGCUCACUGUUUCCAUGAUAGGUAUAAUUUUGGACAAGUUAUUUACACCCGAGUCUGAGUAUCAUAGAUAAAUUCUAUCUCGAUUAACCAUGGGUGGUUUUAUGUGAACAGGCUUAUUAAUGGCAAUUGAAGUUGUAGCAGUUAUGUUAGGAGGAUGGUCAGGCCUGGAGGGAAAUGGUGAUUGGGGGAAAGUUCCAGCAACCAUUCCUGUCAUGAUAUUUUCAUUGGUAUACCAUGAUGUUGCACCGGGUAAAAGAAACACACUAUUGUUUUCAAUAUGAAGCUUCAUAUUUUUCUAAUCAUGGGGUUAUGAUAUCUCUUGGUUAUUGCAGUCCUUUGUGCUUAUUUAGGUAGUGACCUUAUUCGAUUAAGGGCUUCGGUUUUGCUUGGCAGCCUUGUUCCCUUGUUGGCAUUGCUUGUUUGGGAUGCUAUUGCACUUGGCAUUUCAACACAAACUGACCAAGUUGUUGAUCCUGUUGAGCUGCUUAUGGGGUAUGUCAAAUACAUAGAUUCUACAUGUCACAUUUGCAAAAUCCCCUCGGUAGAAGAACAUUAUGUUAGGUACAUUUUUUACAUCUCGAAAUGUGGCAUCGUAACUCUGUAAAUAUAAGGAAAAACUUCAACACUAGAACCCAAGUUUUACCCAUUUGUAGAGGCAGCUUCAAUAUCAGGUAGGCCUAGAAGGAAAUGAGCAUUACCCUCACGCAUAACUUACAUACCAAGGUUAGGGCAGUUAAUAAUAGUAGCCUAGGUAUAAUGAACGAUCCAACGAGCAUAUAGUUAUAUUCAACACUCCUCCAAAAAAUAGAAUUGGAGCUGAAACCAAAGCCUAUUUGUUGUAAAACCUAAAACUUGAGCAUAGAUGUUGAACUUUCUCCAAUGGGAUUCAUAUAGGAUUAUUGGGGGAUGAUUCAUAUAGUCAGAUAAGUUAACAUGAGUUGGUACCCUGAAUUUAAUGUUUUCCCCCCUUGUUUCAGGGUAAAAUGGAGUGGAGUUUCAUUUAUGGUAGAAGCAUUUUCACUUCUGGCCGUGGGAACAUCAAUGAUUGGCACUCUCCUCAGUUUUUCAGAGUUCUUUAAGGAGCAGCUUAAGAACCUGUCAUGGCAUUCUUCUUCGGUACAGGUUGCCCCAACUCUUCAUAUUUCUGAAAGCAAAUACCCUGUAUCCGACACUUACGCUGUAAAGACUCUCCCUCUCCCUCUCCCUCCAGCUCUUUUAUUUGAACCGAGAGAUGAGCAGACGAGAGGUGAAGGGAGAGGUAAACCUCCCCCUCUUAGUUUACAACCUGUUUAUCACAUUCAACUUACUGUAUAAUUGUUAAAACCAUGCAGAUAAAGGCAUUGGCAUUGGAUGACCUACAGCAGGAACCAGACAAACUGACAAAUUGGUGGGGAAGAAAUAAAACCGGGUUCACAGCAAUGGCAAUGGUGGUAACUCCAACACUAAUAGUUUCAACAACAGUUCCAGAAGCAUUCUCUGCUGCUACAGAUAUUGCAGUAAGUUAAAAGCGAAGCCAUAAAUGAAUUAAAGGUGUUAAGGAUGUAGAACUUGAAGCACUAAAUUUUCAUAACUUUGAUGCAGGGGGGUUAUUGCAUGACUAUGCUUUAUGGAGUUCUUCCACCAGCGAUGGCUUGGGCCAUGGGGAACAGAGAAGGUGAGGGUUCUAACCAGAAGGGAUUAACAAUGGCUUGGCCUGCAAUUUGUGGAGUUGGAUUAUUUGCCUGUGGCUUAGUGGUGGAGCAAAUUUUACAGGAUUUAUUGGCAUUGCAAUUCUGAGAAAAAGGAUAAACAUGUCUGUAUUUAACUAUUAUUCCAGAAACUAAAUUAGCAAAAUUUGAGGUUGAGAUUAGGAGAGAGACAAAAUGAAUCCAUUAAACAAUAUUGAGCUGAGAUCAAGACUCAUCAAGAAUUCAAAUCAAGUUCCAAGAAAUACUAAGAGAAACCAUUUCUAGAAGGCACACAUUGGAGUUUAUUUCAGAACAGGAACAUGGCACAAACAAAAAUAACAACAAAUCAUAAAAUAAUGACAUAAAAUUGUUCCUAAGCAUGAGCUCUGAGUUUUGGGAAUUGAUAGAAUGUUGUAGAAAAUUAAACCAUCAGUCUUCAUGGAAGACCCCCUAGUUCCUCACAGUUGUCACAUUCUUCAAAAGCAUCUGUACAACAUCAUGAGAUAUCCUUGCAGCUUCGUUUUUCAAGUGAUUGAUCUUUGCAUCUGUUUCAGUCUCGAGCCGCUUCACAUUAGCCCCCGAGUAUCCGCUACUCUGAUAAUCCACAAACAUGGUUAAUGGUUUAGCUCAUAUUAUAAUCAAGGAUAACUGGGUCUCGAAGCAAGUCUAUCGCCUACAGUUCAAUCACAUGAUAAGAUUUCAGAUACCAUGGAAAUGGCAAAAUAGCAUCUCACUAAAUAAGAACAUGAAUUCCAGAAAACUUGCAGAAACUAUUUAACCGUCUGAGAGAUUCAGUAAAUGGAAGCCAAGAAAGGGACAGUUGCUCAUAUCUAAGAUUUUCAGCAUACUGCAGUUAUUACAACAGGAAAAAGAAAUUAUGAAUUCAUACCUCCGCCACCUUCUUCUUGAACUCAUACUCUACUUGAGCACGAUAUUCAGCAAUCUCUUUCUCUGCCUGUUCCUUGGCCUGUUUCAGUCUAGCCAUUUUUGCUGAAAAAAAGAAACAUAUGUGAAUUGACAUCUAGUCCUUCCAAAAACAAAGGCAACAACUACCUCUUAGAACAGCAACCAUGAAAGUCAAAUCAAGUUCUCUUCCACGUUUCCACAAGUCCACACAUGCGCUUGCAUGUUUACAUAAUUAAAUUGUUUAACCAAGUCUCCUUAUCAAGUGAAAUCAAGUACGCAAAAAAUGUUCUAUAAAUCUUCAAUAUAUCAUCUAAACAAAUAAAGGGAAUCAACAUAGAAACUAACAUCUUAUUAUUCUUGACCUAUUUACAAGCCAAGGUGUGAGAAAAAUAAAAAUGAGACUAGUGCUAACCAUUUCUUGCAGCAUUGACAAUGUGCUGAGCAUCUUGUUCUGCAGCUAGCAGCUGUUGAAUACCGUUCUGGCCCCUGUUGGCUUCCAUAUUUUCUGAAUUUUGUUACAGUUACUCUAAAAUUAAGAUUCCUUUUCUUUAGUACUCUAGUAAUUGAAUACAUUGGAAUAAAAAACAGUCACACAAUAAACAGAACAAAAUCCAUCGGAACACUAGAAGGCCAAGCAAUAACUUUAGUUCAAUAGUGGUCAACCAUGAUACGAUAAUGUUAAGUUUAAUUUGCAUCAAUUAACAUAUAGCAUGUAGUAAGACAAACUCAAGAUCAGUAUAUUUACUACAAGUAAGAUCAACAAGCAUUCAUUGAAUCAAUUUUACUACAUUAACAUUCACAAGGAUUUUAAACCAUUCCUCCCCAGUCCCCAUUGAUAUCCCCAGCUCAAAAGUCAUCAAAACUUCAAUUUCCCCUUUCUAGAUCCAUAGUAAAAUUAAAACUCAAAGAGACUACUAAGAAUACAAGGACCUCAUUUUCAUGUCUAGCAUACAUUUCAGUCUAAGCCAAGUUCAACAUCCAAAUCCUUUGGUACAUCAAACUUUUAUGGCUAACAUGAUUUGAUCACCAAGAUAAUUUACAACAAUGCCACCAACUAUGAAAGCCAACUCUAUAACUCAAUAUCAGCAAUCUCCUUCAAAAAUUCUCAAAAACCCAUGAAAUCUAGGUCCAUAAAAAGGCAGACAACAAUGUACCCACAAAAAAAAAAUCUAAAUCUAAGUGAAUUACAACUAUCGAUAAACAGAAUAGUCAGAUCAGAGCGGAAAAAAUAAAGGUAGAGCAUUUAGAUUUAUAUAAUUUUCAAAUUAAAUAAAGAUCUUAUUUUUAAUAAUACAAUUAAAUUGUUUGAGUUAAAAAAAGUAGUGAUCUGGACAGUUAAACAAUAUUAAUUAUGGAAAUAGAGAAAAAAUUAUUGAAAAUAUGAAGAAAAUGUAAGGAAAAGUAAAGAGAAAGAUUGAGAGAUUAAGAGAAGACGUACCAGGAGAAUAGGUGUUUUUGUGAUUUGAGAUUUAAGGAGAAAAUUUAGGCACCAACAAUUGCUGCUUAUUUAAAAGAGUUUCAAGGGAAAAAAAUUGAAAUAAUUGAAUUCCUCAAAUGACCACUCUACCCUUAUUUGUCUUUAUAAAAAAUAUAUAUAUCAUUAAAAUAAUAAAUAUUAUAUUAUAUUUAUUAAAUUUAUUUUUAGAAUUUUAAAAAUGAGUAUAUCUAUAAUUCAUCAUACAUUGCAUUUACAGAUAAGCUGUAGUUUUCAGGUGAUCCCUCUUGAAGAGAAUGCACUCGGGUGGCCUAAUAGAGAGUCCAAUCAAGUGGUUUAAGACGAACGAUCCCUUCUAUAGUGAUAUAAGGCAUGCGGAUAAUCGAUCACCGAAUGAUCAUUCUGACAGUAUAAGACAAAGAGUCAUUCGUAUGUGCUUUUCUAAUUACUUCUCAUAUUGUCACGUGUCUCAAUCGAAGUAGAAUUAUAUCAGUGAUAAACCAUAAAAAAAUUUGUGCAUGUAUAUGUUUGAUCAUAUUUAUAUUUGUUUAGUUGUACUCAUCUAUUUUUUAACAAAUUAAAAUAAUUAUUUUUUAAAUUAAUUUUUAAAAGAAUUUAAGCAUCAUAGAAAAUAAAAUUUUUAGAUAAUAUAUCCAGUCAAUUUAAAACAUUGCAAGCAGGACGAGGGUUAUUGACUAAUUAAAUCCAAUUAUUUGUAUAUUAAAACAUCAAUAACACUCAAACUUAGAGACAUAUUUAAAUGACAUAAUUAUUUAUUUGACUCUUCAAUUUUACAAAAAAUAUUAUUUUAGUCCUAUAUUUAUUUUUUUUUCUUUUAACCUCUAAACUUGUUUUGUUUGUCAAACCACCUCAAAAUAGAUGAAAAAAUUAACGUAUAUUAACAUUGUUGAUGUAUACACGAGUAUUGACAUAUCAUCAAUUAAUUAAAUUUUUAAAUUUAAAAUUUAUAAAAAUAUUUUUUGAUGUUUUUUAUAUUUAAAUAACUAAUUUAUUGUUAACAUAACAUACAUAUGGAUGUCACGUCACUAAAAUUAACAGGCAUUAACUUUUCUAUCUAUUUUAGAACGAUUGGACAAACAAUGUAAGUUUAACAACUAAAAAAACGAAAAAUUAAAUAAAUGACUAAAAUAUUUCCUUUAUAAAAUUGAAGGACCAAAUAAAUUAUUAUACCUAUUUAAAUAUAGAUAUAUGAUACGUGUACCAUAGAACAAAUUCGAUGUCUUCUUGCACGGGACACCCGCAAGAAGUUUCAUACUGCAAAAAGUUUAAAUGAUUAUUUUGUCAUUUUCUAAAAUAAAAUAAUAAAUAAAUAAAUAACCGUAUAACAGGGACUAUUGUGACUUUUGAACUCAUUCAAGAUAUAAGAAAAAAUUAAGUGAAAAUAAUAUUUAUAAAAAAUUGUAUUAUAAAUAAAUGAAGUUUUGUUUGGAAAAAGAAAUUCCUUUUUAUUGUUUUCUAAAUUGUAAUUGAUUUUAAUAAAUUUAUAUAAAAAUAUAAAAAAUAAUACAAUUUUAUUUUGUAAAUUAAAUAAACUUUUAAUUAUUUUUCAACUUAAUUGAACCAACCAAUUAAACCCGUUUUUAAUAUAAUAACUAAUUUAAUCCUCCAACUUUAAAAAAAAUUACUUUUUCAUCCCUUUCAAUUCUUAAACUAAAUGAAAAAAUAUAAUCUCUAUUCACUUUGUUGACGUGACAUAUCCAUUUUUCCAAUUCAUUUUCUGGUUUUUCUUGGUUUUUUACUGGUUCAAACCAAUUCUUAAACAAUUGAAUGAUUCCCAAUUCAGACCGAUUUCUGGUUCAACCGGUUGGUCCGGUCUAAUUUUACAACACCGUUUUUAACAAUAAAUCCCAGCAAGAAGCUUAGCUUCCACCAGCUAUGGAAGGCAUUCCUAAUUGAAUCAACAAAAGGUGACAGUUUCUACAAACAUUAACAUAAAAUAGAUUAUACAACAAAUCAUUCACUACAUCAAUGACUUGAUAUCAUGAGCAACAACAUCAAUCCUAUUCCUAUAACAAUCAAAUAUAUAGUUUUUGCCACAAUACAGUUAUUAGAAUUCGAUUCUUGCAAAAUAUUAUUCAAUUUUACUUCUUUGUAUUUCAUUUUUGUACAAUUCUGCGGUCAAGGUACACGGAUUCGGCGCCUAAAACAAAUGCCAUCAGUAAUCUUCUUCAUCGACACAAGCUGAAAGGGGGUAAUUCAUAUUAGGCAAUGAUAAUAACGAAUUACGCAAUGCAAAAACAAGUAUAUAAAACAAACAGGUAUAACAAGAGCUACGAAUGUCUCAAAAGCAAUUCCAGAAACCAUUGAAGAUUGAAUGAAUAGCUGAUAUAGUAAGAAUGUAUGACAAAGGUCAUCACUAGAAGUCGGUUGUGCUUAAACGGAAGCAAAACUAUGGUGUCUUUUGGGUUUCUUGUCUUUUGGGUUUCUUGUUUUUUAAGGCAAAUAUAAAACGGCUUCACUUGUGUGUGCUCAGUUUGACAAGUGUACUGAAAGAAGAAACGGGUGGCUUUUUCCAGUAUCUUUGCUUCUUGGCUAAGCUCACUAAACAAAAAACACAAAGGAAAAACGAACAUGGGAACUUGAAAAGUUCAAUUCUUCAAAGUUCAAAAAGCUUAUAUUUGUUCUACAUUAGCCUUUAAAAGGUGGGAAUAAAAGGGUUUGCUGUGCAUGCAUAUAUGUCCAUGGCAAGCAUCAACUCCGGAAGAGGAUUGGAAAGAAAAAAAAAUUGAAAGCUUCGCUAGAAAUUCCAUCCUCCAAAGGCUCAAAAGUCAAGUAGAACAACUCCCAAGAGAAACAUCAAAAGAAAAAUAAAGAUAGUUGUUAAGAACAUCACAAUCCCAAGUGUUUUCCAAUUCAUAUAUUUUCAGAAAAUGAAGAGAGCUACCAGAUUACCAUCAUAGAUAAAUAUCCUCUUGAACUUUUUAUCAUCAAAUCUCAUUAUAAACAUCACCAGUCAAGACUUCAUCUAAAUUUCAAAAACUAAAGAAGUGGCAUUUUGUCCUAUACUACAUGUCAGAUUCCAUCCCCCCCCCCUUCCACUAAAAAAAUAGGCAAAUUAAUCGUUGUAUAUUAGACCAAAGAGCAAACUGAUGCUUUCUGUUGAAAAGUUCAUCCAUUUCUACUGUUAAAAAUUGGCAUGGUGGACAGAAUAACCAAACAGUGACAAAUGGCAUGCCACGUGUACUUUAUGCUAACGUAAAUAUUAACUUUUCACCUCUAAACUUCAUUAUCCUUUGCAAAUUUGUUUAUCUGUAUAUCAAAGACAUUAGAGCUCUUAGACUUCUAAAUACUAACUUUAUAUCUCCGAUUUUAGGAUGAAAAUAGGGGUCUCGUUGUCUGUUCAAUUCAGUCAUCUUUUUUAAUCAAUAAUUCAAGGUUGAUGUUUGAACCAAACACGACUCAAAUUUCACCUGUUCGAUCAUACAAGGCUUGCACUAUUAUGAUGCUAAAUCAAACAACCAAAGCCAUCUUGCUUUCGCAGAAUCACUAAAACAUGAACACAGAGAUUAUUUAACACACUCAUCCAGGAAUUAAGCUGACAAAAUAUGAUCCAUCAAUCUAUUUGAGUGACUGAGCGAUUUAAUCAAGUAAUAUGUCAAGAAAUUGAGGUAAAUUUGUUAAGCAUUACUCAAAUCAAUUUGUGCUGAAUUGCUAAGUUGGAAUUAUUAAAUGAAUAACCUCAUAAAGCACAACCUAACUUUUCAAAACCACUCAAGCAAAGCACAAAAAUAAAAGCUUGACCAUUCAACAUAUAAACUUAAAAAAAAAAAAAAUCAAGCAAAAAAGUGAAAUGCUCUGAAUUCAAAGACCCCAUUUCCAAUGAACUAAAUGAAACACUAAAAUUACAUAAAAUUAAAAAUUCACGUAAAGAAACAAAAAUAAACCACAAAAUUGCAACAAGGAGAUAUCAAAAUCGAGUAAACACAAAAAACCCAAGUCUAUAAACACCAUAAACCAACAUAAAAUCAAAAACUCACACCAAAAAACCUAAUCUUUCAACAAUUUUUUACUGGAAAAAGAAAGUCAAAAGGGAGAAUUUAGAGUUACCUCCACAGCAGAAGCAACAGUAGCAGCAAGAAAGGACCAUGAAAAUCUCUCUACAGAUCAAAAUGAAGCUAGCACAACACUUGGAAGGAGCAGAUUUCGAGUGGGCAGCUUCUUGAUCCUCAUUUAAGAGAUUUUGUUGGUUGCUUGGAAUCCUCGGGGAAGAAGAAGAAGAUUGUUUCUCUGAUUUCAUUCGAUGGAGGUUCCAUUCUAGUUUUCUUAAAUAAGCGAUUUUGAAUGAAUCCCUUAGUCUAACUGAUGGCCAUAGAUGCAUCUCUCACUGCUUCUUUGUUCUUUUGAUUGAAGCUUCUGACAAUGAAACAAGAAGAGGAAGAGGAACGGAAAAAAGCGAGUAUAGCUUUUAGGUGAAAAAUCGAUAAGAUAUUUUUCAUUUUUUUUGGGUAAACUACACCUAAUGCUACUAAACUAUUAGUAUAUUUAAAUUUUGAUCACUUAACUUUAAAAAAUUACAAAAUUUUCAUAAAACUAAGUUUUCAUUUAACUCACUUAACUGUUAAAAUCCUUGUUAUAUGAUCUUCUUUGUUUGCAUCACAUGUACCAACUGAAAACUCUCAUUUCCCUUCUCUUUUGCAAUUUAUUUUUUUUAUAAAACAACUUUAAACGUCAUGAAUUUACAAAAUGCACCAACAGCAAGCAUUCAUUUCCCUUCUUUUUUGUAAUUUGUUUUUUUUAUAAAACAACUUGAAUGUCAUGAAUCUACAAACCAAAGUUCAAAUAAUUUUAUUCUGCAAUCUCUGAAACUAAUAAUCAAAUUGACAUAGAUUUAGAUACUAGUUCACCAUACCAAUCAUUGAACCUUGUUUGGAACUCGUUAGACAGACUUUUCUAAUAAAUAAAAAAACAUAACAGUCUAAUAACUUAAAUAAAAACUUUUAAAUAAUUCAUUGAUUAUUUUAUAAUUUAUUGAAGUUGAAUGAUUAAAAUGUAAAUAUACUAAUUGUUUAUUGAUCUAAGAUGUAAUUUAUUUUUCUUUCUUCUUUUUUUUAUUUGCUUUCGUUUUAAUUUUAGUGUGUUGGAAAAUUUCUAUUGAAAAUUCUCAUUUUGCUAGAGUUAAAGUUAACUUAGUCAAACUUAAAACCAAAAAAUUGCAUAAGGUCGCAUAGCUUACUCUUACCAAACUAAAAGUCUACCAACGUGACCUAAAAUAAAGGCUGAUUCCAUAGCAAAAGUUGGGGUGACCAAAAUCAAUUUUUUAAGGCUUGGUGGUAGGCUUCUUACAGUCGUGUCAAGCUUCUAUAUUCCUCAUGCUUGAUGUAGUGUUCGAUUCUUUUUUGACAUUUGCUGGUGAUUACGAUUUACUGUUUUUUGUCUUUGGUUUUGUUUUGCUUCAUGAUUGGACUUUGUUUUCUUAUACUAAACAUUUGGCUGGGCUUUUUGCUUGGUUAUUAUUAAUUAAAUUUAUUUGUUGAAAAAAUAUUUAUGUAACUCUAAUACCAAUUAAAUUAGAUUAUUUUUUUCUGCGGAUAUUAGUUUAAAUAUAUAUUAAAUUGUAAUGGGAGUAAAUGACUACUAGUGGAAUAAAUAAAAAUGGACAUCAAAAGUUUAUAUACACAAUUUGAAAACUCUUUAUGUAAACGGAGUCUUACUCAAAAAGUAAAACAUUAUUUAAGUAUAACUCAUUCACUAAGAUACAAUCUCACUCAAAGCUUAAUUGCAAGCUGAAUAACAAAUCUAACUUAUAACAAAUUUGAACAGAAAUAACUUCCUAACUAAACAAAAUAAGCACUCUCUUCAUCUCAUCUUAAAAAGUCGAAAGUACAAGUAUUCAAAUAGGUAUUGUGUACUUUGUAGAAAAGCAAGUAUGACCCGAAUAAAUCUUUGCAGAAUUCUUUGAAAACUUCUUUUUGCUUGAUCUAAUCUUUUCUUUGAUCAUAAUCUUGUGAUUUGCUGAUCAAAAUGUAAACAAAUAAGUCAAUUUAUAAUGUUUUGUCAAUUUUUCUUAUAAUUAACAUUAACAAACGUUUCAAGCAGAGGCAAAGCUAGGGGGCUAGCAGGGGUCCUGGGCUCUGGCUCCUAAAAUGAAAAUUUAUUAUUUAGACCUUUCAAAAUUUUUUAAAAUUUUAAUUUAAUAAAUAUAAAAUUAUAUUUUGACCCCUUAAAAUUAUAAAAAUUCGAUUUAAUUUUUUAAAAAUUAUAAAAAUAUAAACUAUAAAUAAAAUAAAAUUUCAUUCGACCCCUAAAAACUUGUUCUGACUUCACCCCUUAUUUUAAGGUAAAAUACAAUUUUAAAUAAAACUUGAUAGCGAAAGAUUUUAGCCAACAGAUCCGAAUUAAUUAUAAAGAUACCUCUCUGGCAGCUCAUAUUUGGUGUCUUUACACGCAACUCGUAAUGGUGGCACGUUUUAAGGAAUAUAGAUGAUGAAGUUUAUGGCCAAAAACAAGAAAAGCACAAAUAGCUAUUUACACAUCAAAUUGCAUACAAGAAACUGCGUGUAAGAUCUGUAGUAUUUCUUAAAUCAGAGCUAAAACGAAAAAUGUACAAUAAAAUAUACAUCAAUGAUGAAACAGAGAAGGAUUAUUCAUCAAAACCAAUAUAUUUUACAUUAUGGAACUUUUUGAUUUGAAAACCCUUUUCUCUCCCCUGUAAAACCCCCAAAAAAAAGUGUGAUUCAACUAUUGAAAGAUUGAAUUACCUCUCAUGAAAUUGCGUAUCCGAUUUGUAACAGUUGAAAGGUUGAGAAAUGGGGAUUGAAGGAAUCGAAUCCGAGCAUCAACAACAUAGCCGGCGAGUUGGGAGAAGAAGAAGAGACACUUAAAGAAGUUGCAGGGCUUAGAAGGGAAGAGAAAGCGUCGAGGAAGAAGAUGAUGAUGGUGCUGAUAGGUACCAUGUUUUCAAACUUGGGUAUAGUAAUAUGGUAUGAUCAACGAAAUUAUUUAUAUUAUCUCUAGAUUGCACUUUAUUUUUCUAAGUUCUUGGAAUUACGAUAACACUCAAAUUAUGUUUUGCCUUUUCUAUUAAAAGUCAUUUUUUUUAUUGUUAACAAUUAGUUACUGUAUGUCAAAAUGAAGCAUACGUGACAUGUUACGUGUACCUGCUUAGUUAUUUUAUUAGUAACACUAAUUUUUAACAGUAAAAUAGAUGGAAUUGUUAAUAAAAAUAACUAGUUUACUUUUUAAUCUAACAUAUAGAGAUUAAUUUUUUUUUAUUUUUUAAAUAAAAGAAGUAAAAUGUAAUAUGACUCUUAAUAUAUGAAUCUCCAUAAUAUUUUUACCUAAAAAAUGAUAGUUUUGCAAAAUUAUAAAAUUGUCUAGAUUAUAUGUGACAAAUAUGACUAAUCAAAUAAAUUUUUUCGGAGUAACUUAAAAGAAUUUCAAUAAUUAAGGUAAUUCCUAAAUUACAAUAGCUAUCUAAAUAUGUUUGUUUUAAUAUAUAUUUUAUUCUUUACAUGUCACAAAAUAUUAUCUAUUAUACAUAUUAAGUUUUUUAUUAAGUUAAUAUCGUUUAUUAACUGAGUCUUAACUUAAUUUAAAAAUUACCAAAAAAACCUAUUACUUUUAUAAAGUAAUAAAUAUUAAUAUACGAGUAUUUUAUUAAAAGCCCAAAACUUUUAUAAAGUAACAAAUAUUAAUAUGAGGAUAUUUUUAUCUUUUUAUAUUUUUUAAUAAAACGAUAUUAUGGUAGGAUUUGAACUUAAUACAUAUGAUAUUUUUUCCCUCUUUUGAAAAUUGAUUUUAAGAUAAAGUUUUUAUAAAUAUAAUCUAACUAUAUUAUAAAUAUUUUGUUUUUAUUAUCACAUCAACAAUCACAUCAAUUAAAUUGAAAAUGAUAAAAAUUAAUCAAAUAAAAUUAUUUAAAAUUUUAAAAUUAAAGAGAGAAUUGUUUAUUCACCAUUAAAAAAAUACCUAUAUAUAAUCUUUUUAUUUUUUAAAAAAAAUUACAAUUUUCAUAUAUAUUCUUUAACUUAGACAUAAUUUAGUAUGCAUAUAAAUUUAUCUUUAAAAAAUCCAUAUAAACUAAAGUUUUCAAUAUGAAUAUGAAUAGGUUUUUUUUAAAAAAAAUUCACAAAAUAAAAAUAUUACAUUGCUUGUAGGAAUAGCAAACAUGAUGCAAGUCUAGUGGCCUAAAACAUUAUGCAGAGGGGACAAAUUUUGUUGGGAGGAUAAGUUGGAAACAAUAAUGUAAUGUGCAAUUUAAGUUAUGAUUCAAAUUUAACUUUAGUGACAUUGACAUGGCAAAAAUUCUUUUCUAUUAUCUCGAUUGAGUCUUAAUUGGUAUGGAUAUUGUUGUUAAUACAAGAGAACGUGGUUCAAGUGGACUAAAGCGAUUAUCUUCUUAUUUAUAGGUUGGGAGGGAUUAUGGAUAAUUCUAAGUAUUAUCUUAAAAAUAGCAGUUAUGAUUAGAACAUAUAUUAAGAUUAUUCAAAAAAAAAACCUCCUAUUCACAAUUAUUAAUUAAAAUUAGGUAAAUUACACCAAGAAUCACUUAACUUUGGGGUAAAUUAUUAGUCACUCAGGUUUCAAUUUAGUGACUUAGCUUUCAAAAAAUAACAAAACAAUCACCACUAACUAUUUUUCGUUACAUCUAUAACAGAGUUAUCGUUUUCUGUUAUUGACUUAACAGAAAUGUCAUUUUUCAUCUCUGUCUUAUCCCCCUCCCUCUUCCCCACCAUCAUUCUCCCUAUCACAAGCCCUUUCACUUUUUUUGCAGACCUCCCCACCAUUGCCCUCUCCCUCUCUUCCCUUUCUUCCUUCUUCACCAGAAUCCCCAAGAAAAAUGAACCCCAAGAAGGCAACAACAUAAAGUGUAGCCACAAAGAUACUUAAGGGCUUGAACUUGGCCACAAAAACCAAACCUUUACACCAUAUGCACCAUGUUCGCACGCCGAAUGUUACCACAUUUCCAAAUAAAGCCUGAAACGAAAUUGGUCUCAGUUACAAAGCUUCGAUUUGCCAAAAUGACAAAGCUAACUUGGGGAGUUGCAGUUUGCUUACUGAGUAGAUCAUAGAAAUGAGCUCGAUAUCAGGACUCAACAUCAAAGCGUUUAGGUAUCUUUUAAAAUCAAAGUAACCAAUGCAGAUUGAAUGGACCCAAAGAGGCAAUAGAAGGAAACCAACGUUAUCUCCAAUGGAUACCCUUUCAAAAUUGUAGCUUUCAAAUUUACAAAUGGCAUAGCAACAGAGACGAACUUAAAGAUAACAACAAGCAAAAAAGUGAAAGCUGAGAUUAAGUUGGCAAGAGCAGAAGCAAGGGUUGGAGAGUUGUAUCUUACACCAAUUAUUACAAAGUUCAGCAUCAAAGUGAUCUUGCAAAAAACCUAGUUUUAUAACCCAAUUUUUUCACCAAUAAAGGAAUUAUUGAACUCUGUUUAGAUUUAAUUGCAUACCCAGCAAUGCUUAAGCAAAAAAUUUUGCACAAAAAAGAUAGAGUAAUUGGUGGCCGCUUUUUCUUGCAUAUAAGGAAGUUCCAAAAUAGAUAAAUAAGAACCUUGUAAAGAAAAAAGCUGCUAGAAAAAGAAUGAGUGAAGCCAAAGCAUUUAAGUAGAUGACAAUGACAAAGUGGCUCAUUCUUUUGGACAUGGCAGCUUUGCUGAGGAUGAGAGGAAUGAUGGUGAAUAAGGAAGAGGGGGAAGAGGGGGAGAGGGCAAUGGUGGAGAGGUUUGCAAAAAAGUAAAGGAGCUUGUGAUAGGGGAGGGAUGGUGGGGAAGAGAGAGGGGGUGGGAGAGGGAUGAGAAAUGGCAUUUCUGUUAAGUCAAUAAUAGAAAACAAUAGCUCCAUUACAAACGUAACAAAAAACAGUUAGUAGUGACUGUUUUGUUAUUUUUUGAAAGUUGAGUGACUGAAUUGAAAUCUGAGUAACUGUUUUGUCAGCUACCCCAAAGUUGAGUGGCUGUUGGUGUAAUUUACCCUUAAAAUUUUGGUGAAAAAAAGUUCUAUUAAAUUUAUUUUUUUAAACUGUGCUAAUUUCAUUGAUGUGAAAUAUAAUUAUUACGUGAAUAGAACUAUAAGUAUCUUAAUUAUUACUUAAUUAUUAUUAGAGCUAUAUACCAAUUAAAAUUUAAGAUUAGCUUUAUAAAUAGCAUUCAGUAGUUAGACAUAUUCAAUCGAGUAGUAUCUAAGAAAAAUUAUUAGUAGAAAAUUGAAGACUGCAUUAAUAAGUUAGAAUUGUAUAAAAAAUAAGCAUUAAAGCACUGCUCUUCGAAGAAGCAAAAACUCUUAAAACUAUUUUUUUUAUCUAUGUGUUGUUUGUUUAGCGUAAGUGAAAAAUAUUUUGUGGGUUUGUUUUGAAAAAAAAGUCAAAUUUCAACAAUUAAUUUUUAAUCACUAUUAUUAAAUGUGUUGAUUAAUUCAAUAUAAAUAUAUUUCCUAUUUAUCAUAAAUUAUUAUAAUUGAUGUAUGUUGUUUUACCUAAUUUUUUUUCAAAUUAGUGAUAUAGUUUACUUUCUUAUAUAGUUCAAAUUUUGUAUAUUAUUUAAAACUAAAAAAUAUUGUCUUUAUCAAUGAUAGUUAACAAUAAUUUAAAAUACAUUAUUGUAAAAUUAUUUAAAAAUUAAUCAUAUAAAGUCACAUGCAAUAUAUGUCAUAUUAGAAACUAGUAUUAUAAAAUGGGGCAAUAAUUCAAUUAAUUAGAGUCAUAAAUACAAUAUUUUUUUUGAACAAUCUCAUUAUAAGCUCUGAUCAUAUUUGCUCUUUUUGACACAAUGCCGAAAACUACCAAUAGCCUCUCCCAACCAAUAAAUAAGAAGAUAAUGUGCUUUAACGCACUCGAACCCACGUCUUCUUGUAUUGACAACAAUGUCCAUAUCAAUAGAUCUAAGACUUAAUCGACCCAUAAGUACAAGAUUUAGACUCACUUAACAUUCAAACUCUACUCAAUAAUAAUCUAAUUUAAUUUAUUUUUUAAUCUAAUCAUAAUAACUUAUUAAUACAAGAGUGUGACAUGCAUCAUAACUUAUUAAUACAAGUGUGACAUGCAUCAAACCUUUUAGCUCAUCGGUUGGUGAAUGCAUUUUCAUAUGGUAUAAUAAUUUAUUUUGCCUUAAAAUUUUAAAAUUAACUCUUCAUUUAUUUUUUUUGGUUUUUUUAUUAUUUAAACUUGUAUUAUUUAUCAAAUCACCUUAAAAUAGAUGAAAAAAUUAACCUAUGUUAAUUUUAUUGAUAUAGCAUCCACGUGUAUAUCACAUCAGCAACAUUAACAAACGUUAAUUUUUCCAUCUAUUUUAAGGUGUAAUAUGACAAACAACAUAAAUUUAAAUAUUAAAAAAUAAAAAUAAAAAAGAGAAUUAAAAUAAUUUUUUUAUAAAAUUAGAAGGUUAAAAAAAUAAUUAUCUCAUUUUAUCAUAAAAGGUUGGGCUUGAACCGUCCUUAGUGGAUCCAACACGAUUUCAUUCGCUUAAUUCUAGUUUUAUUUUUUUGGUUAUGAUAAAAUUUAUUUAUAAAUCGAUUUAAGUGAAUUUAUUAGUCAAUUUGUAGUUUUUUUCAAAUUUUUUUAAAUGCUAGGUGCCAACACAAUAAAAUCGAGACUUGUCAGCAUGACUACCACAUGAUAAUGAAACAACUAUGAUAAAAGUAAUAGGUAUUAUCCAUUACGGGGCCUUUCUUUAAUCUCAUAUUUCCUUUCGUAAUUAUCUUUAUUUUUUUUAGUUGAUUAACUUUUAACUCGAUUAGUAUCGAAGGAUGUAAGGUCGAGUAUGUUUUAAGUACAUUAUUCUCUUAUUUAAGAGUUGAGAGGAGUUAUGGGUAAUUUUAUGCAUUAUACCAAAAAGUACAGAUAUGAUCAAUAACAUAUAAUGAGAUUAAUGUUUAAAAAAAAUCAUUUCAAUCUUCUAUUUAAUUUCUAGUUUCUUCUACUCAUUGAAUUUAUUUUAUUUGUUAAAUCACUUCAAAAUAGAUAAAAAAUUAACGUUUGUUAACUUUUUUGACAUGUAUGCCACGUGGCAGUCUAUAUGUACGCCACAUUAACAAUUGAUUUUUAAAAAAUUAAAAAAUAUUUAUACUUUUUAUACUUUUUUUAAUUAUUCUAAUUUUUUUAUAAUUUUUAAUUUUUUUAAAAAAUUAAUUUAUUGUUUGUGACACACACAUGACAAUUCAGUAAAGUUAAUAGAUAUUAAUUUUUCUAUCUAUUUGAGAGUGAUCUGAUAAAUAGUACAAGUUUAAGGAUUAAAAGAGAAUAAUUUUUUUAUAAAAAUUAGAGGAUCAAAUAAAUUAUUAUGUUAAUUACAAAACCAAAGAUAAGAUUAAAGAAACUAUAUUAUAAAGUGUUUAAAAAAAAUCUUAGGUGGCAUAUUUAAAAUGAUGGCAAGUGGAUAAUGUCUUUGCUCUGACACAUUAACAGUUUAUAUAUUCAAUGUAGGCCCACAAUUUAAAAUACAUUUUGAAUUUAUACAAUUAUUUAAAAAAUAUGUUUUCUAACUAAAAAGAAUUAAAACACUUAAUAAAAUAUAAAUAUUGUUUUUAACAUUUUAAAAAUUGAUUAUAAUAUGUUUAUCAUAUGAUAAAAACAUAUUUAAGUUAUUAAAUAAUAUAAUUAAAAUUAGAUUUUUUUCAAUUAGAAUUAAAAUAGUCAAUUUAAAUCAUAAAAAAUAAGAUAAUGAAUUUAGAAUAUGUUUAAAAAAUGUAUAUCGUUAAUAUGAAAUUUAAAAUAAAAAUAAUAAAGACUACUUUAAAAAUAUUGCAAAAAUUAAAUUUGUUUAAAACUUGUUUAAACAUUAUAUAAAAUUAGGGAAUAAAUUGUAUCAGAAUCAUCUUAAAAAUCAUAGUUUUUAAGCACUAAUAAAAUAAUAUCACGUUAUUAAAUUUUAAAAAUAACAAAAUAUUAUUAUACACUCAACUAUAUCUAAUAUUUUCUCCCAUUUAAUUUAAAUUUAAUUAAACUAUUUAAAAUAAUUAAUUUUUUUAAAUUAUAAACAAACAUAUUUUCUUCUUUUUACAAAUUUUAAUCAUUUUGUUUUUUUUCAUAAGUUUUUUUUUGCAACUAAAUUUAAAAUAAAACAGUAACUUUUGUGCAAUUUUUUCCAUGUCGACACAUAAUUUUGAUAAUUAGUUUACCCUAAAUCUUAAACCUUAAAUCUCAAAUCUUGUUAUUUAGGGUUUGAAUUUGGGAUUUAAUGUUUUGGGUUUGAGUUUAGGUUUUGGGUUCGAGGUUUAAGGUUCAUGUUUAGGGUUUAAGGUUUUAAGGUUACAGGUUAUGAGUUUGGAAUUCAUGGUUCGUGUUCAAUGUUACAUGUUUGAGGUUUGGGGUUAUGGUUUAGUGUUUUAGGUUUUGUAUUUAGGGUUCGACAUUCUAGAUUUAGGAUUCAAGGUAAAAAAAUUACUAAAAUUAUGUUUUAAUGACAUUAAAAAAAUUGUUGAAAUGUCAUUAAAUAAUUGAAAAAGAAUCGUGAGUAAUGUGAUGGGAAGGAUCUAUAAAAUAAUUUCUCUAUAGAUAAGUGUAUAAUAAUAAUUUCAUGUCUAAAAAAUUUGAUGAUGCCUAAAAAUUUUAAUUUUUAAGAUCAUUUGAACGUAUGUUAUUCUUGUAAGAUUACUAAAAAUUGUUUAUAAUUAUAAUUUUUUUUUUUUGCAAAAACGUGUAUAUAUACUGACCUAAAGAAUACUUUUAUAAAUAUAUGUAUGUUUAAUUGGUACAUACUCUUAUUUUCGAAAAAAUAUUUAAAAAUUUUCUAAAUAUUUGAAAGAAUUACAAGUUUAUAAUUUGUUUAAAUUUUAUUAAUACUAGUCUUAUAUAUGAGGAUGAUGGUCUAUAUAGUAUAGGUAAAAGUCAUGAACCCUGAUUCAUUACAUUACAUGUGGAAUUAUGGAUUACAUGGGAGUUUUACACAGUGGGCAAUGGACAUCAUUUUAAAAUGUUCCAUCAUUCAAGGGGAAAUUGAUCUGGGGAUGAUAAUAUCUCCAAUGUUGUUGUGCCAUGGAUCAGCCAAGUGAGUUGCCAAGUUCUCCAAUGGUCCAGUUCCAGGGUAAGCUGAUUGUUGAACACAAAAUCCCACAAACGCCAACAAUGCCAAACGACCUGCAAACAACAAAAUCAAUCGGAUUUUCUUGGAUGGGUAGCUCAACUCUCAAACAAUUCUCAUCAAACAUAUAAAAAAAGGGAUUGAAGUUCUUUACCGUUCUUGAUCUCUUUGACUUUGUAUUCCUCGAACUUUUUAGGGUCCUUGGAGUAUCCCAAGGGGUCGAAAGCACCGCCGGGGUACUUCUUUUUCUCGGUAUCUUUCUCCAUGCUGCGUUGGUGCUCGACGAAGGCGAUGGCAAGGAACUCGAUGACCAAGAUUGUUGGGAGAGUUCCCCAUGGAACAGGGUUGCCUAAGUAAGUGGCUUGCCCACCAGGAACGGCUGCCCAUUCUUGUGCCUUUACCCAGUUUCCAUACCCCAAUGCCUCUGGCACCAAUAUACCAGGCUGCAAAUUAUAGUUUUAUUAGACUCAAUUUGAGGAUUUAGUUAAUUUUUUAUUUAAAUAUUAAACCUUUUAUUGAUUUUAGUGUUACGAGUGAAUCCAACACCAACACAGUUGAAUGAUAAUGAAUAUAUUCUUACUUUAUAAAAUAAAUUAUAUUAUUUUAAAACUUAUUUUUAUCAUUUUAUAUCUUUUAUAUAAAGAAAUAAAUAUAUAAAUAUACAUAAUAAAAUUUGGACCAAAGUCUCUAGAGCUUUCAAUAUUUAUACUUUGUCGUUCAACCAAAAUCUCAUUUGUUAGACAUAUAUUUUUAUAUAAAUAUAACAUAAUUUUGCUUUUUCUUUCUUAUAAUGAGUGUGGUAUUUUAAUAUAUAUAUAUAAAAUAAUAAAAUAUAAUUAUUGUGAUAAUUCACUUUUAAAAUGGGCUUAUUUAAAGAGAAACAUUUGCCGUUAUAGUGAUUUAAGGUAAGUAAGAGGACUAAAUUAGACUAAAUUAAAAUAUAGAGACUAAAACCAUAAUUUGAGGGAAGAAAACACUUACAACAGCAAGCAUAGCCCAUCUGCAGUGAAUCAACUCAGAUUCCUUGUAUCUCUCAAGGUUCUCCGGCACCUCACCAAGUCUAAGUGGAUCAAAUCCAAAGUCACUGAAAAACCAAAUAUAUAUAUACACACAUUCAUAAGAAAUACUUAAAAAUUGCUACAAAAAGAAAAGAAAGAUGGAAUUUUUUUGUUUGAAACUUUACCCAGGUGCUGAACCAUCAAGAUAAGGAGGCCUAGGCUGACCAGGCAUCCAGUCAGCCGACAUGCUAACACGGUGACCAACAUUGGCGCCAAAGCUAGGCAACGGCGUAGCGGUGGAGAACUUGGACUUUGAAGAGGAAAGCACUGAAGGGAAAGCGGUGGCGAUGCCACAGCUCAUCAAUGUGUUGGUGGCGGCCAUGGGAGGAAAAUGGGUUUUCGUUUGGGG